AUAGACUUAUAUUGUUCAAAUUUGGAUUCCUUUCCGGGAAGUGGUUUGUCCACCUCAAACCUCAAAGUCCUCCGCCUCAGUUACUGUGAAAAACUCCAAGCUCUGCCCGACGGUAUACACAACCUCAGCUGUCUAGAACAACUAGAAAUAGAAAAUUGCCUCAAGUCUGACAUCCUUCCCAGAAGAGGGCAUUCCUACUAAUCUCAAAAGACUUACCAUCAAAGGACCCAAUAUUUGUAAGCCACUAAUUGAUUGGGGAUUGCAUAGACUCACUUCUCUUAAAUCUCUCUGGAUAGAAAAUGGAUGUCCCGAUGCAGUGUUGUUUCCACAAGAAGAGAGAGGAAUGACGCUGCCCUGCUCUCUCACCUCUCUCGUCAUCAGCAAUUUCCCAAAACUAGAAACCCUAUCCUCCAUGUGCUUUCAGGACCUCACCUCUCUGGAGUUCUUGUCCAUCGAUUCUUGCCCAAACCUCAAGUCUCUUCCGGAAAAGAAGAUGCUUUCUUCGCUUUUGCGGCUACAUAUUAGGAGAUGUCCAGUGCUAAAAGAACGGUGUGGAAAGGAUAAAGGACCAGAGUGGUCCAAGAUAGCCCAUAUACCUUGUGUGCAACUUAAUGAUCAGAGCCGUUUCCGUUUCAGAGGAUAAUGGUUUAGACAAUAAUUCUUCAGAGCAGCAAGUUGAAAACAAAAGAGUCAAUGGAUCAAAGUCUCAGGCAUGUCAAUUUCAAAUUGAUCUUUUUACUAUUAUAGUGUUCCUUACAUCUUCAAAUGUAUACACUAAGGAGAAAGGAAAACACUUUCAAUUUAUUUUAUUAAUCUUCAGACAUUUAAUUUUUUUGUAGAUUCAUGAUCCACUGAUUUUUUUUCCAUUAAUUAAAAAAAAAGAGAUUUUCGGUUAUUUUUGCAGCAUAAGAUACUAACCACGACCUUAUCUACAGAAUGCUUGUUAUCUGAUGAGAGUAGAGAUUGAAGUUGUAGAAAAGAAUUUCACAUAGGUAUAUGUGGUGUUGGGAUUUGCCUUGAAUCUUAUAAUCUUACAUAAAAAAUUAGUGAGUUUUUGAAUUUGUCUUGUAUUUAACAUUGAGAGUUUAGUAAAUGUAUAAAGGGUUUCACCCUUAUAAAUAAAAUGUUUUAGUUUUAGUUUGAUAGUCCUAUAUAAUUAGAUACCAAGGGAAUAGCUAGGUGAGUAGGCUAUUAAAAGAGUGUGAUUGAAUUUUGGGUUAAAUUUUGAAUAAAGAGUUUUUAGAGACUUUUUUCAUUUUAAAAAUUUCUCAUAGUUGUAAAGAUUUAUUUGUUGGUGGAUUGUAUUUGGAGUAGCCAUUUUGAGUUGGGCUGAACCAAAUAUAUUUGUGUGUUUUUAUUCUUGAUUUGAGUUUGCUAUUUUGUUGUAAAGAUUUAUUUAUUAGUGGAUUGUGUUUGGAGUAGGCCAUUUUGAGUUGGGCCAAACCAAAUAUAUUUGUGUGUUCUUAUUCUUGAUUUGAGCUUGCUAUUUUGUGUGGGUGUUAAUAUUCCUAACAAGUGGUAUCAGAGUGAGGUUCAAGGUUUAAGGUUUGGGGCCUAAGAGAUCAUAAAACAGUGUUUGAAAAUGUCUAAAGUAGGUAUCUCUAGUAUGCCUAUACCUAAGUUUGAGAUUUCGUUAUUUAAUGGAAAGAGUAAUUUUAUGUUAUGACAAAGUAUACAACAAGGAUUGGAUUAGGCAUUAGAGAGUAAUAAGCCUGAGGGAAUGUCUGAGCCUAAUUGGAAUAGGAUUAAGAAGAAAGCUGUUAGUACUAUUAGAUUAGUGCUAGCUCCAGAGGUAAAGAAUAGUCAGUUGACUGAGAGUACUACAAAAAGUUUGUGGGAUAAGCUUGAAGGUAUUUAUGCUUCGAAGUCGUUGACUAACAGAUUAUGUUUGAAGAUGGAUUUGUAUUAAGAAGGUAUGAGUCUUCAUAAUCACCUGAAUGAGUUUAAUAGAUUCGUUUCUCAAUUGCUAGCAAUUUCUAUUGAUGAGUUAAAAGAUGAAAAGAAAGCUUUAAUUUUGCUGUCAUCUUUGACCAAGUUUUAUAGGCCUCUAGUUCAGACUAUGUUGGUUGGUAGGUCUACUUUGAAGUUGGAUGAUGUGACUGCCCUAUUGCAUGAGAAUGAAAGGUUUAUGGGAGCUCAGAACGGAGUACACUAGCUGUACAGGGUUUUGAUCGAGAAAGGACUCAAAAGAAGAUUGAUGGAUCAAGAGGAAGAUUUAAGUCAAGAGAUAGAAAUUACAGUGACAUAGAAUGUUAUUAUUAUGGUGAAAAGGGACAUAUCCAAGUGCGCUGCAGGAAGCUGAGAAGGGAUAUUGCUGCUUUCAAAAAGGCGAAUGAUGCGAAGAAAUCAAAUGAAAAGAAGAGUGAUACUGCUGUUGUCAUGUCUGAUGAUGAUGAUGAUGUUGUUUUGAUGACUUAUGUAGAUGAGGCUCUGACUUUGAAAGGUGAUAAAGGUUGGGUUUUUGAUUCAGUUGCUACAGUUCAUGUCUGCAAUGAUAGGAACUGUCUGCAAUGAUAGGAGUUACUUUGUGGAGUUGGAUGUGAAUGAGAAGUAUGGAGAUAUUGUGGUUGCUAACAAAGAAAAGGUGCAGAUUCAAGGCAUUAGGAGUGUUCGCCUUAGAUCUCACAAUGGUGUUGUUAGGAUGCUUCAUCAUGUAAGGUAUGUACCAAGUUAUCACUACAAUUUGAUUGCUUUUGGUGAGUUAGCUUCUCGGGGAUACACAUAUUAUGGUAGUAAUGAUUGGUUGAAAGUGUACAAGAAUGAUAGUGUGAUUCUACAAGGGAAUAGGGUCAAAAAUCAUUUGUACAUGUUUGAUGGAGGCUUCGUUGCUGGGAUCCUUGUGAUGAAAGAAAAGAAGAAAUGUAAGCGUGUUAGCUUUGCAGAUACUGUUGAAGUGUUUGGAGAUUCAAGUUAAGGCAGAAUUUGUUGGGAUUUACCUUGAAUCUCAUAAUCCCACAUUGAAAGUUAGUGAGUUUUUGAGUUUGUCUUGUAUCCCACAUUGGGAGUUUAGUAAAGGUAUAAAGGGUUUCACCCUUAUAAAUAAAAUGUUUUGGUUUUAGUUUGAUAGUCCCAGAUAGUUAGACACCAAGAGAAUAGCUAAGUGAGUAAGCUAUUAAAAUGGUGUAAUUGGAUUUUGGGUUAAGUUUUGAGUAAAGAGUUUUUGGAGACUUUUCUUAUUUUAAAAGUCUCACAUAGUUGUAAAUAUUUAUUUGUUAGUAGAUUAUUUUCAGUUAUAAAGAUUUAUUUGUUAGUGGAUUGUGUUUGGAGUAGGCCAUUUUGAGUUGAGUCGAACCAAAUGUAUUUAUGUGUUCUUAUUCUUGAUUUAAGCUUGCUAUUUUGUGUGGGUUCUUUGUAUGAGUGUUGAUUUUCCUAACGCUUGGUGCUAGUUGUUGUAUGGAGCAGAGUUUUAUGAAUUUUCCUGCCAAUUUUGAUAGCACAAGUAUAGGUCUUUCUGUGUUCAAUCUAAAUAUUUACUAUAUUGGAGCAUUAGCAAACUUGAACUGAUUUUCUUUAAUCAAGAGUUCCGGACUAGCAUAAUCUUUCAUUUUAUUCAAAAGAGUCAAAAAAUCCAGUUAUAUUUUUUUAAAACAAUUAUUUUUCGUGUUCACAAUAUUUUCAGGAUAAUUUUACAUGUUUUAGUUUCUUCUAUAGCUAAUUGGACAUGUAAUUAUUAGGAGUUAUGAUCUAUCAUUGCAACAUUUUAAGAAGCCCUCAUUAUUUGUUCUUGCAGAGUUCAUGUGCUCAAUUGUGAAAUAACAGCCUAUCACCUGUGAAUACAUGGAUAAAAGAUUCAUCUAUUAUUUAUAGGUGGAAAAACAAGAACCAUUUCAUCUCACGGAGAAGAAAAUGGCAUAAGUAAAGAGUAUACCUUCUUCCAUAUUUGCAAUGAAACCUAAGUAUGGAAGUUAAAAAUUCCUUUUUAUUCUUUUCUUUUACACUACUUUUAAUAACCUUCAUUAUUUAUAUAUUUAUAAUUGAACAUUGCCAACAGAAUGGUGCAAAGGAAGGUGAUAAAGAACAAGAGUGGUUCAACGUUGUCCACGUGCUCUUUUCCAAAUUGAUGAUGGUUUCACAUGUUAUCAAGAGGAAUUUGACUAAAAUCAAUUAGAGGAUGUCCCGGGUAUGACAAUUUGGAAAUGCAUCAGAAUAGAUGUAACACUUAAAACUUUAGGAGGAUUUUGUUUCACAAUUAUAUAUGAUAUUGCAUAUAAAAAUCGAUUUUGAGAAAUUUGCAUUGCUAUUGAACAAUUCUUGCAUAUGUUACAUGUGACAUAGAAACGUUCAGUUUAUUUAGAUAUAUAUUUCAAAGAUGAAAUUGAUUGUACAUUCAUCUAUGAUCCAGAGAAGUCAAAUUGAAAGCUGUUUAAUCUCUGAAAAGUAAAGGGAAGAAUGAGGGAUUACAAAUUUACAUUAUCCUUUGCAUAUACUCAAGGCUAGGUAUUUCAAUUUGGAAAAGCUUUUCCACUUUCAUUCUAAUGGAUUUCCAAUUUCCAAAAAGACAUUGCUAUUCGUCUUACUUCCAUUUUGAAACUUAUAGAUAUUACAGUUGUUCAUUUUUCAGGUAUGCGAGGAGUCUGGACCGCCUGUCACAUGGAUCUUUGUCUGGUGUCUGUCUUUCCUGUCAGUUUGAUUUUCAUCCCUUUUUAGCAUGAAAUGAUAUUAAUUAAGACCGGCAUCCCAACUUCGAGUUAGGAAAGAGGGAACCGAUAAUUUUUAGUUUACAGGCAUUCAUGGAAGUUGCAGAAUGUGCGAGACAAUGUAAAUGGUAAGAAGCUGGUUUUAUUUAAUGUUCAGGUAUUUACGUAUUUACAGCUUCUUUUUUGUACUUCAAUUUCUGUAAUUUCAGUCCAAUUGGAGCUCAAUGAAGGUCUAGAAGCUAGUCCCAUGCUGAAACAAGGUGUGAAAAUGGAUGAUGGGAGGAAGAGAUAGUAAGUACCAACAGAAAUAAUACUUUUUCUGGUACAAUGGUAAAAUUAAAAUAUUUGCUAAUUCUGAAACCUUUGAUGAGGUCUUUUAUUCCUAGAUACUUUCUAUUUGCAUGUUAAAUUACAAAACUUUAUUAUUAAUUGCUUUAAUUGAUAGAUAUUUUAAAAACUCUUCUAUGUUUUCAUAUCAUUUGAUUAUUUCUCAAAGAAAGAGUAUUUGUUCUUGUUGCAUGUUGUUUAACCUAUAGAUUGCAAUAUAUAAGAAAUUGACAUGAAACUUUUAAUUUUUGUCAUUUUUUCUUAUAAGAUUGUCAUAAAACUUGUACCAGGGAACUUAAAGAAGAUAAAAAAUGGUAAGUGGCAGUGCAGCACAACUGUUUCUUACCAGACCAGGCAGUGCAACACGUAUGUUGUUUCUUACCAGAACAACUGUACAGAUGCAUUGAGCUUAUGCUUUAAGGAGAAGCUUCCCUGCCUGUGCCUCAAUGUCUGAGAAAUGUAGAUACUGUACCAGCCGUGACAUUGAACCUAGGCAUCAGUAAGUGACACCAUUGACGCAAUGAUUAAAAGAAGCACCCAAGCUUUUGCUCUUCUUUUCCACUAAACCAUCUUACCUGGUUGAGUUUUUCUUUGUAGUCAAUCCAUGCCAUUCUUUAAAGCUGUCAAUAAAAGUGGGUACAUUUUUGUUUGGAGACAUGAUAUAUCCAGGUUACAAGCAUGUUAAACCACUUCAAAGGUAGCUGGUAACCAAGUGCUUAUGUCACGGGUCGAGACUCAAGCUCCGAACCCGCGCGGCUUCGGGACCCGGGCAUUCACCCUUCCGGCGUCCCAGAUCAGCCUUCAUGCCACGGUUCACACCCUUGUGAGGUAUUGUCCGCUCUGGCCCCUCCUGACCUCACGGUUUUGUCCUACAAAAGGCACCUCACAAGACGGAGAUGGUGUGAACCCUUUUAUACCCUAGUAAUCUUCCUAUUAUAUUCGAUGUGGGAUUCAGGACUUAUCCUUAGGUCCGUGACAUUCUUCUGCACCCAAUCUCGUGAUGCCCUUAUCACGGAAGCUAGCCACCCUGCCUACCUCCCUCGAGGUGCUUGGCGUGGAUCGAAUGGUUUAGGGCUGGCUCUGAUACCACUUGUCACGGUCGAGACUCAAGCUCCGAACCCGCGCGACUCCGAGACCCGGGCAUUCACCCUUCCGGCGUCCCAGAUCAGCCUUUAUGCCACGGUUCACACUCUUGUGAGGUAUUGUCCGCUUUGGCCCCCCUAACCUUACGGUUUUGUCCUACAAAAGACGGCUCACAAGACGGAGAUGGUGUGAACCCUUUUAUACCCUAGUGACCUUCCUAUUAUGUUCGAUGUGAGAUUCAAGACUUAUCCUUAAGUCCGUGACACUUAUAUCUUGCUAUAUGAUUUUUGGUAGCAUGAAGAUGCCGAUAAUUUUGAUUUGCAUCUGAAAUUCAAACCUUGAAGAAAGUAUCUGAAGUAAUCUUGAUGUUUUGAAAUUGAUUUUGUGGGCAGUGUGCAAGGUUUACAAAUUACGAUCUGUGGAAGGCUAACUCAAGUUAGAGAUCAGGUAUAGUUCCAAUCUAAACAAUAUUUUGUUCCAUCUGAUUUGAACACGAGUAUAUACAAGUUCCAAACCAUUAAUCCUGCUUCUUGAAAUACUGGAAUAUUGAAUGCUCCUUUCACCUAAAAGGACGAGGUAAAUUUCUCUUGGAUCUCUCUGUGGAUUUGGCUUUCUGGCCUAUAAAAGGUUAGUUCUUUCUCCAAGACUUUUAAAUGUUAUCUAUAUUUACAUAAUUGAAAGAAAAAUGGAGCAUACUGAGCUUUGAUCGACUUAAAUACAUCUUAUCUUUUAAAUACAUGGAGGUUUAACUUGACUAUUGAUGUUGGUUGCAGUUCAAGUUGCAGAGGCCUUCGUUCUACAAAAGCAAAUGAAGGAAGUUUAGAAAUGCGGUGUUCAAUUUAUGUUAAAGUAGCACAAAGGACANNNNNNNNNNNNNNNNNNNNNNNNNNNNNNNNNNNNNNNNNNNNNNNNNNNNNNNNNNNNNNNNNNNNNNNNNNNNNNNNNNNNNNNNNNNNNNNNNNNNNNNNNNNNNNNNNNNNNNNNNNNNNNNNNNNNNNNNNNNNNNNNNNNNNNNNNNNNNNNNNNNNNNNNNNNNNNNNNNNNNNNNNNNNNNNNNNNNNNNNNNNNNNNNNNNNNNNNNNNNNNNNNNNNNNNNNNNNNNNNNNNNNNNNNNNNNNNNNNNNNNNNNNNNNNNNNNNNNNNNNNNNNNNNNNNNNNNNNNNNNNNNNNNNNNNNNNNNNNNNNNNNNNNNNNNNNNNNNNNNNNNNNNNNNNNNNNNNNNNNNNNNNNNNNNNNNNNNNNNNNNNNNNNNNNNNNNNNNNNNNNNNNNNNNNNNNNNNNNNNNNNNNNNNNNNNNNNNNNNNNNNNNNNNNNNNNNNNNNNNNNNNNNNNNNNNNNNNNNNNNNNNNNNNNNNNNNNNNNNNNNNNNNNNNNNNNNNNNNNNNNNNNNNNNNNNNNNNNNNNNNNNNNNNNNNNNNNNNNNNNNNNNNNNNNNNNNNNNNNNNNNNNNNNNNNNNNNNNNNNNNNNNNNNNNNNNNNNNNNNNNNNNNNNNNNNNNNNNNNNNNNNNNNNNNNNNNNNNNNNNNNNNNNNNNNNNNNNNNNNNNNNNNNNNNNNNNNNNNNNNNNNNNNNNNNNNNNNNNNNNNNNNNNNNNNNNNNNNNNNNNNNNNNNNNNNNNNNNNNNNNNNNNNNNNNNNNNNNNNNNNNNNNNNNNNNNNNNNNNNNNNNNNNNNNNNNNNNNNNNNNNNNNNNNNNNNNNNNNNNNNNNNNNNNNNNNNNNNNNNNNNNNNNNNNNNNNNNNNNNNNNNNNNNNNNNNNNNNNNNNNNNNNNNNNNNNNNNNNNNNNNNNNNNNNNNNNNNNNNNNNNNNNNNNNNNNNNNNNNNNNNNNNNNNNNNNNNNNNNNNNNNNNNNNNNNNNNNNNNNUACAGGCUACAGCGGAAAAGGUUAAAUUUGAGGGGGAGUAUUUCGCUAGCCACUGCGGAGGCAUUAGACCUCACGAAAGCAAUAGGUUACUUUACUCCCUCCUAGAGGGACGGAGCUCGGUAUAGAGCUAUGUUAUGCACAUGCACCAUGAACGACAUAAUUAACAAGGUAAAUAAACAGGAAUGAAUAAUAACACAUAUAUACAAAAAUGGUUCAAUUUUAUUAGGCUUUGGAUAACACCAAAUUAUUUGCUAGCCUGACUCUCAAAGUCCCCAGUGGAGUCGCCAAGCUGUCGUAACGUCUAGAUUCGGGGAUCUAUCGCUAGACAUUGACUUAAGGGAGUCGCACCAAUCUUUUUAUCUAGGUGUGAUUGGCCACCUAAGGAAUCUGUCCUUUCAGGGAACACCUAAGCUUAAGGGUCCCUAAAGGAAUAGGUUCAGGUCUACUAACCAGAACAGGGUUCGGGAGUUCGGUUACGUGUGAGGAAGGUUAUAGCACCCUCACAACGCCCAUCAAAAGAUGGUUACCAGCUAAAUUUGUGUUAUCCAAAGCUUUAAAAUUUUAUCAAGUAAUUAGUUAUUGGAAAUUAUUCUCAAUUGACUCUAAUACUUUUAGCAGAAAAAUUGAGGAAAAUUCCCUCACCUCAGGAGUAUGCCAAGAAAACUACUGUUUCACUUACAGAGGCUCCGUCGUCGGAUUAUUUAAAGAAAAAAAACAAAAUUCAAAAUUUAGAUUAGAAAGGAAGGAUUUUUUUUUGUUAAGGGAAAAUUGAUACUUUCAACUUUCCCCAAAAAUAUUUUCUUGAAAUUUUAAUUUCGAGGAAAAUUGAUACUUUCAACUUUUCCUCAAAAAUUUAUUUUUUUUUUUUUGAAAAUUUAUUUCUAAGGAAAUUGAUACUUUCAACUUUUCCCCAAAAAUAUUUUUUUUGAAAAUUUAUUUCCAAGGAAAAUUGAUACUUUCAACUUUUCCCUAAAAAUAUUUUUUGGAAAUUUGGAUUUCAAGGAAAAUUGAUACUUUCAACUUUUCCUCAAAAACCCUUUUUUGAAAUUUAUUUUUAAGGAAAAUUGAUACUUUCGACUUUUCCCCAAAAAUAUUUUUUGGAAAUUUUGAUUUUCAAGGAAAAUUGAUACUUUCAACUUUUCCCUAAAAAUAUUUUUUUUUGAAAUUUUGUUUUUAAGGAAAAUUGAUACUUUCAACUUUUCCCCAAAAAUAUUUUUUUGGAAUUUAUUUUAAGGAAAAUUGAUACUCUCAACUUUCCCCUAAAAAUAUUUUUUUUGAAAAUUUUAAUUUUCAAGAAAAUUGAUACUUUCAACUUUUCCCCAAAAAUAUUUUUUUGGAAAUUUAUUUCUAAGGAAAAUUGAUACUUUCAACUUUUCCCUAAAAAUAUUUUUUUUUGAAAAUUUUAUUUUUAUUUAAAGAAAAUAAAUAAAAAGAAUAUUACAUAAACCUAAUCUAAUAAAUAAAAAAAAUAAAUAAACAAAUAAACAAAGAAAAAAAUUCAAAGAAAAAAAAAAAAAAAAAAACCCUGGAGCAGCUCGGAUCGCGGCUCGGCUCAAGGAAGAGAAAACGGCUCGGGGAAGCGGCUUGGUGGCUUGGCUCGGCUCGGCUCGGCUCGGAGGGCUGCACGCGCGGGUCAGAAAGCGGGUCGACGCCCGGGUCGGGUCGGGUUUUCGGCAAAACGCGCGGAUCCUCUGAUUAACUUAAGCCAAAACGACACUCGUUUUGGGAGGGUUAUAAAAGGCACUACCCUCUGUUUUUCGGCAGACCGCCCCUCCUCUCUCUCUCUCUUCUUCCUUCUUUCCUCUGCCUUCUCUCUAAAGACUGAAGAACACCGGUGGGAUUUCGCCGGAUUCUGGAAAUUCUCGCCGGAAUCUGGAAAAUUUCGCCGGAAGUUCGCCGGAAGUUGCCGAAAGAUCGCCGGUUUCUGGGAUUCUUCGCCGGAAACUGGGAUUGUUGCCGAAAACUUCAAGUUUGGCCGGAACUAUCGCCGGAAAAUUCAAACUUCGCCGGAAUUUUUGCCGGAAUCUGGAAAUUUCCCAGAAAUUUCCAGAAAAUUUUUUCGCCAAAAAUUUCUAGAAAUUUUUUCUCACUCCCAGACCACUCCUAAACUUUUCCUAGCUUCCUAUACGCCUCCUUUUCUCUCAAAUCAGUAGCUUUGCUUACUGUUUUCUGUGUGUUCUUGAACUGUUCCAGGAGGUGCUUUAUAUAGGGAUUGAUCAGGAGUUUCUGAUCAAUCCCAAUUCCUCCUUGGACGGGGAAUUCAGUUUUUGAAUCCAAUUGGACUCUCUUGAUUGAAAUUCCCAUUCCCGGUAGGAUUCUUCAGCUUCAAUCUUAGCCCUCCAAAAUCAAAAAAAAAAAAAUAUCUGAUAAUCAGGAAAAAUCAGAACAGAUAAUUAAAAAUAAUAAUAAUAAUAAUAAUAAUAAUAAAAUAAGAUAAACCCAAGUAUAUAUUACAAAAAAAUAAUAAUAAUAAUAUAUAACUGUAUAAAUAAAUACAUAUAAAUCUAAUCUGAAUAAAAAUAAAUAAAUAAAUAAAGAUAUACAUAAUAAUAAUAAUAAUAAUAAUAAUAGAAUACAUAAAAUACAAAAGAAGAAAAAAAAAAUAUACAGGAUUGAAAUGGGCCUUACCCAUUUUGGGUCAGGCCCAAUUGAUUUGGGCCCGGACCUAAUUGGGUGUCUACAGUAUAUAUUUAUUUAAUUUAGUUUUGAUACUUGCAUUAGUAUGAAAAGCUAUGAUUUUAACUCAUUUUUACGUGUUAAACUAUGAAUAGCAAAUUAAUAGCAUUUAUUCAUUGCUUUUCAAGUCCUCUACACUUAAAUUUUUUCUUACUUUCUCUAUCUUACAAAUUAUAUCAUUUAACAUAUAUUGUAGUUGUUUUUUUUCUGAACACAUGCAAAUCAAUAAUAAAAUAAUAAUAGAUAAUUGAUAAUGUAGUAAUUAAUCAUUAAAAACUUAAAAAGUACUAAGUAUAACUUAGUAGUAAAUGAAUGAUAACUUAGUAGUCAAUAAUUGAUAACUUAAUAGCAAAUCAAUAAUAACAUAAUAAUAAAUACAUAAUAACUUAUAGUAAAUCAAUUAUAAUAUGGUUAUAAAUGCAUAACAAUAAAGUAAUAAAUCAAAGAUAUCUUAAUUAAAAAAUAAGUUAUAAUUUAGUAGUUAAUCAUUGAUAACUUAGUAAUCAAUUAUUAAUAACUUAAUAGCAAUAAUAAUUUAAUAAUAAAUCAAUUUUAGUUAAAUAGUAAUUAAUUGUUAAGAGUAAAUCAUAAAUAAUUUAGUAGUAAAUCAUCGAUAAUUUAAUAGUUAAUCAGCAAUAACUUAAUAAUAAAUUAUGGAUAAUUUAAUAUAAAUCAGUAAUAAUUUGAUAAUGAAUUAUGGCUAAUUUAGUAGUAAAUUGUUAAUAGUUUUAUAGUAAAUAAUUGAAAAUUAAAUAAUGAAUAAAUGAUAACAUAAUAGUAAAAACAUGAUAAUAUAAAGGAAAACUAUUGAUAAUUUAGUAGUAAAUUAUUGAUAACUUAAUUAUUGAUAAUAUAGUAGUAAAUUACUAAUAACUUAGUUGUAAAUUGAUGAUAAUUUAGUAAUAAAUUAAUUAAUCAUCGAUAACUUUGUAGUAAAUCAUUGAUAAAUAACCAAUAAAUUAGUUAUAAAUUUAUAAUAAAUAAUUAAUAACUUCAAAGUAAGUCAUCAACAAUUUAAACUAAAAUCAUCCAUAACUCAAUAGUAACUCAUUUUAAUGUUAAAUCAUUUAUAAAUUAGUAGUAAAUCAUAUAUAAUUUAGUAGUAAAUCAUUGAUAACUUAAUAAUAAAUUAUUGACAAUAUAAUAGUAAAUCAAUGAUAAUUUAAUUAUCUAUCAUUAAUAAUUUGUUUGUACUUGAAGUUACUAUGGAUAAACCUUGAUUACUAACAUAAAUGAAGUCAGAACUUUCAUCUUUGGAGCUAACAUAAACUUACCAUUAAAUUAUUAAAAAAAAUUAGUAAAAAAAUAUAAAUUUAAAUGAAGUAAUAAUGUUAUUAUAUAAAAAGAAAAUGAUCUCAUAUAUUGUUGAAUUUUUAAACUCCGCAUUUCCUAUAUAGUUGUAAAUGCAUAACAGUAUAUCAGUAAAUCAAAGACAGUUUAAUAAAAAAAUAAGUGAUAAUUUAAUAGUUAAUUAUUGAUAACAUAGUAAUAAAUCGAUGAUAACUUAAUAAUAAGUUAUUGAUAACUUAAUAGUAAAUUAAUUUUAGUUUAAUAGCAAUUAAUUGAUAAACUUAGUCAUAAAUUAUAAACAACUUAAUAAUAAAUAAAUGACAAUUUAGUAGUUAAUCAUUGAAACUUAAAAGUAAAUUAAUAUAAGUUAAUUGUAAAUAAUCGAUAACUUAAUAGUUAAUUAGUGAUAACUUAAUAAUAAAUCAUAAAAAAUUUAAUAUAAUUAGGUGAUAAUUGGUAGUAAAUCAUAGAUAAUUUAGUAAUACAUUUUUGAUAAUUUUGUAGAAAUAAUUAAAAAUUUACGUAAUAAAUCAAUAAUAACAUAAUAGUAAAUACAUAAUAAUAUAAUAGUAAAUCAUUUAUAAUUUAGUAAUAAAUUAUUAAUAAUGUAGUAGUAAAUAACUAAAAAUAUAGUAGUAACUCACUAAUAAUUUAGUUGUAAAUAACUGAUAAUUUAACUAUAAAUUAAUGAUAAUUUAGUAAUAAAUUAGGUAAUCAUUAAUAACUUUAUAAUAAAUUAAUAAUAAAUUAAUUAUAAUUUAUAAUAAAUCAUCAGUAAUUUAAUAAUAAAUCAUCACUAAUUUAGUAGUAAAUCAUUUAUAAAUUACUAUUAAAUCAUUGAUAAUUUAAAAGUAAAUUAUUAAUUGAUAGCAUAAUAAUUAAAUAAAACGAUUGAUUAGUUUUUAGUAUGAUUGACAUGUUAUUUAAAAUUAAUAUUUAAAAGUUUUAGGUUUAAAAAUAUUUUUUUCAGUUAGAUAAGUUGUAAAAUAAAAGAAUUUUAAAAUGAAUUAAAUUUUCAAAAAAAAAAUUACUCUUUCUUACUUAAUUUUAGUAUCAUUUAAUUUAAAUGUAACCAUAAUAUAGAAUUUAAUAAAGGGUAUCUUAAAAAAAAAUAAAAGACAAAGGAAUCUUUGUUGCAAUUAUUACCUAAGUGGGACCAAUAGUGGGGAGGAGCAUAAGUCUUGCUUCAACAGCUAACAACAAAAUACUGAUUCACAAAGGACAUAUAUUUUUAGAAAAGAACCACGAACAGUCAAUCUAUACACCAAUAUUAUUGCAUAAAAAAUUUACCACUAACUCUCUCAGAAAGGGAAAGUAAUGUUUAAAGAAAGUGAAAUUUGAUUAUUUGAUAGCAAUUUUUUUAUUUAUUAAAUAUUAAAAUUAAUACAAAUAAUAUAAUUUAAAUAUAAAAAACUAAUUAGUCCCAAAAAAGUAGUGUCCAUAUCCGUUUUGUUCUUUAAAGUCCAUUUUAUAAGGUUCUCUUGAAAGAGGUCAGCUCUUUUAUUAAUAAAGAGAUGAAUUAAUAAGGUUUCGUAACCGAUAAGUCGAAUUUAAUUUAAUUUUUUAAAUAAUAUAUAAUUAAAAUUUUUAAAAAUUUAAUUCAAAAUUUAAAUUGAAUUUUAAUAAUUUGAUUUAAUUUGGUUUAUUAUUUUUUAAAAUUUAAAUUUAAAUUUUUUAUUUAUUAUUUUAAUAUAAUUUUUAAUAUAUCUUAAUAAAUGUAAAUAAAAUAAUUAUUUUAUUUUAUAAAAAUUAAUAAAAAUAUAUAUUUUUAAUUUUACUUUCCAAUUAAAAAUUUAAUCUAAAUUUAAUAUAUAUUUAAUAUUUAAAUUAAAUAAAAAAUUAAUCAAAACCAAAUUAAACACUAUAAUUUCAAAUCUGGAUUACUUAUUUUUCAAUCCUACUUAUCACAUCUGCUUUUGUUAGUGCUGCAUUCGUCCAGAAAGGCUCGUGACAUAUCAUUAAGAUGCCAAAGGUACCUGUAGGUCAGUUGUAAAAACAAAAGAUUCCCAAAAUCUUUUGACAUAUCAUCAUUUCAUUAAAAAGACUGAUAAAGAAAAAACCUAAAUCGUUGUAUGUGGCACUGGAUGUUUUUGAAGAAAAUAUUGGAUGAAAUCAUGCCCAAGGAAGAAAAUUCAUACUCAGUCCAAUAAUUGAAGGUCUAUAUCCAUCCAGAAUUUUCAUGAAAAAAUUUUAUGAUGAUGCAUGUGUUUUACUGGAGUUAUGUACAUUUCUGUGUGCAUUUCUUUAUGUUUGGAAGGGUAAUUAUUAUAUUUAAAUAUUAGUGAAAAGUAUGGUGAUAGAAUUAAUUUUGAUGAGAUUAAAAAUAAUAUUAAAAAUUAUUAUAAUUGUGAUAAAAAAAUUUAAUAAAAGUUUUAUGUAAAAUAAAUUUUAUUAAAAUUAAAAUUUAUAUUUAAUUGAAAAUGUGAAAAUUUUAAUUACUUAUAAAAUUCAAAAUCUAGCUUAGAUAAUUUGAUUGCAAAUGUUACUAUUAGCAGUCCAGAGUUUUCCUUUUCUUAUUCAUUUUGUGGCCGCAUGAUUUCCACAUCCUAUAUAUAUAUAUAUAUAUAUAUAUAUAUAUAUAUAUAUUUAGUUUAAGAUCUUUCAAUUAUUUUAAGUUUCGAUUAAUCUAAAAUCGAAUCAAAUCUAAUUUCAUAAAGAGACAAAUUCUCUUAAGCUUGUUUUUAUUUUUUUUACAAAAUUUAAAAUCAAAACCUUAUUUAAAAAAAAAACUAAACUCUUUACCGUUAAAACCAACAAACAUUAGUAUCACAUCCUAUUGUUUAACGAUUGAAAUUUGAAAGUUUAAUUAUUAAUUAGAAUUAUUUUGAAAAAAAUUCCAAGAAUAUGUGGUUUUGUGUGGAUGCUAAAAUUCAUGAUUUGAUUGUAUUUUUACUGUUAUUUUUAAUAUUAUCGAAAUUAAUUUUAUUAUCCUAAUAAAUGAACCCUUAAUCAAAAGCAUAAAAAAAAAAGUUAUUGAAACUAAGCUUCAAUUGAUAGCCCAACACAAGCAACAAGUUUGGUUUUUUUUUUUUUUUUUGACUGUUUGAUAAUUUAAAAAAAAUACUAAAAAUGUCUAAACGUGAAAUAAUGUAAUCAAAACAGUAAUUAAAUUAAUUUGUUUUAGAAAAACUAAAUUCUCAUUAAUAAAUCUUUUAGAAAAACACAAAUUUCUUUCCAAUGUAAAUUAAUGCGCUAAAAGUACUUUAUAAUAAAAAAUAAAGAGAAAUAAAUAAACAAAUAAAGAAUAUGAAUAUUUAAAUUGAACAUCAACAUUAUCAGAGUUUUAAUAAUUGAAUAUGUGUCAACACUAAAAUACUUGGGAUGCUCUUCACCACUCGUAGCCUUUUCCAAAACCAGAUAAAAAUCAAAUUAAUGUACUAAGCCACGCAAUAAGAAUUAAUGUUAAUGAUUGAACUCAAAAAAAAAAAAAAAAAGCACAAACCUCAGCCAUAUAUUGCCUUCAAAACCAUUUUUAUAAGAGAUUUUGUUUAUAAAUAAUAUUAUUUAUUUUAUUCAAAAAUACUAAAAUUUAAUACAUGAAUUUUCGUAAUAUUCGGCUUCCCAUGCCACCUUAGCUCUCUAUAAAUACCAAUGCAAGAAAUCCUCUUGAAGCACCAAAGUGCAGUAAACCAGCACCUUCAUACCUGUUGUACUCAAAAUUUUAUUUCGGUAUCCUUUAAAACAGUUUCCAAAAAUGUCUAUUGAUGAAGUUUCAGCAUCAACUCUUUCUGCUCCAAUCCAAAAUGCUGAACUGCCUGAAAUCAAUCGUCGGUCGGCAGGUUAUCAUCCCAGCAUCUGGGGUGACCAUUUUCUCUCAUAUGCCUCAAACAUUAAUAAGGUAAUUGUAAUAAUUAGUUUAACAUUUGGAUUCUGCUUAAUUACAUAUAAAUAGACUUUGAUAAUUCAUAUAUUAGUACAUGCAAAACACCGAUAAUUUGUAUAUUUAUGUUUUAGAUAAAAAUUAUGUCAAAAUUCGUAUUGAUAUGAAAAAUACAAAAUAUAUUUUUUUUGUUUUUGUUAAAUUAUAUAUUAUUUUUUUCAAAAUUUUAAACUGUCACCUCUGUAUCUUUUUUUUUUCAUGUUAUUGUAUUGUAUUUUGAAUUGAAAGGUCUACGUACAUUUCAAAAAAGUACUUCAUAAGUUCCAACGUGUUUCUUGGGGGGGGUAUUAAUUUGAUUAUUUUCUUAUCUAGGAGGAAGAUUAUGAUAGGGAGGAAGAGCAUCAGAAGCUGAAAAAUGAAUUACAGAAGAUGCUAAUGGCUGAGGUUGAUAAACCUUCGGAAAAGCUUAAGUUGAUUGAUGCAAUCCAACGCCUAGGAGUUUCUUAUCAUUUUGAAAAAGAGAUUGAACAAGUCCUGCAGUUGGUCUACAAUGGUUGUGAUAUUGGGGCCAAUGAUGGGAACCUUUAUACCAUUUCUCUCAAAUUUCGCCUGCUUCGACAAAAUGGCUAUAAAAUGUCAUGUGGUAUUAAACUGAUCUUAGUACCUGCUUUUCUAUAUUUAUGGACAGAACUUGACGAUAUUUGUGAACCAAUUUAAUUUAGGCUUAUUUUCAACUUUGUGUGGGGAUAAAAACAGACAAGAGUUUGGAAAACUUUAUACAAAAAAUGGCUUGAUUCAUUCAAUUUUCAUGUGAUUAGAGAUUUUUAGUUUAUUUAACAUUACGGACUAAAACCAUCUGAUGUUUAUGUAUGGUGAAAGCAGAAGCCUUUAACAAAUUCAAAGACAGUGAAGGAAAGUUGAAGGAAUCCCUUAUCAAUGAUGUUCAAGGAAUGUUAGGCUUGUAUGAGGCCACACAUCUAAGGGUGCAUGGGGAAGACAUCCUGGAUGAAGCUCUUGCUUUCACUACUACUCACCUUGAGACCAUGGCUACCAGCUGCUUGAACUCUUCUCUUGCAGCACAAAUAAGUCAUGCUUUAAAGCAACCUAUCCACAAAGGUUUGCCAAGGCUUGAGGCCAGGCAGUACAUGCCUAUCUAUCAAGAAGACCCUUCUCAUAAUGAAGCUGUAUUAACCUUUGCAAAGUUAGAUUUCAAUAUGCUGCAGAUGAUGCACCAGAAAGAACUUAGUGAAAUCGCAAAGUAAGCUUUCAAGUCCCCCUUACUUGAUGCCUCGCAAUUGCUAGCUAUAGAUAUAUAUAUGACAGCUGAGGAUUAUAGUUUGCCCCAGCUAUCAAUUGGGAUUUUCCUCCAUAUUAGAUUUCGUUUAUAUAAGUGAUGCACUUCAAUUAUGGUAUUCAGGUGGUGGAAAGACUUGGAUUUCUUGAGGAAACUACCUUUUAUCAGAGAUCGAGUGAUAGAGUGCUACUUUUGGAUAUUGGGAGUGUACUUUGAGCCCGAAUAUCGGUUGGCUAGAAGGAUAUUAACCAAAGUGAUUGCCUUGACUUCAGUUAUUGAUGACAUCUAUGAUGUGUAUGGCACUCUUGAAGAACUUGUUCUCUUUACUAAAGCAGUUGAGAGGUCUGAUUUCCUUUUUUUUUUUUUUUUUUGCAAUUCCUCACUCAAGUCUAUCCUUCAAAGUUCAUAGUAAUUGUUUCUUUUCCAUAAGAUGAAUUAAAUUAAAGUUUUGAUCAACAAAUUUUUUAGGUGGGAUAUAUCUGAAAAAGAUCACCUUCCGGAGUACAUGCAAAUUUGUUAUCAGGCAUUGCUAGAUGUUUACAAAGAAAUUGAAGAGAAAAUGACAGAACAAGGAAAAUUAUACCGCCUUGAUUAUGCAAAAGAAGCUGUAAGCUAAUUAGCUGAAUUUAGAUUUCACUGCACAUAAUAACUAUUCCUCUUGAUUCAACUGAUUAUUUUGUUUUUGGUUGCUCAGAUGAAAAAUCAAGUUAGAGCAUACUGUGUUGAAGCUGAAUGGUUCCAUAACCACCAUGUACCGACAAUGGAGGAGUACAUGCCAGUAGCAUUAGUCACCUGUGGCUAUUCAAUGCUUGCAACCACAUCUUUUGUUGGAAUGGGAGAUGUUGCAACUGAAGAAGCUUUCGCAUGGUUGUUUAGUGAACCCAAGAUAGCUACUGGCGCUUCCAUUGUCAACAGACUCAUGGAUGACAUUGUGUCCCACAAGGUACAAACUUCACUAUUUUCAAUUUCUUGAAUGAUCAAUUGCCUUAAAAACCAAAAUUCCGGGGUGGUCUAUACUUAUAUUAGCCAUUGAUUUUGAUGAUUUGGCUGAAGCAGUUUGAGCAAAAGAGAGGACAUGUAGCUUCAGCAAUUGAAUGUUACAUGAAACAGCAUGGUGCUACUGAACAAGAAGCUGUCAAGGAAUUUCGCCAACAAAUUACUGAUGCAUGGAAAGAUAUAAACGAAGAAUGUCUCUAUCCAACCAUUGUCCCCAUGUCACUCCUGACUCGGAUUCUCAAUCUUGCUCGUGCAAUGGAUGUUAUAUACAAGACCGAAGAUGGUUAUGUUCAUGCUGGAGUGAUGCUUAAAGACUUUGUAGCUUCUAUGCUCAUUGAUCCUGUUCCUUUUUGAGCAUUUAGUCGAUCUUUCACAAACUAGCUACUGCGUCAGUCACGCAUAAAACCAAGUUAUCAAUAAUAUAUGCUCAUGCUAAAGAAAUCUCUCUAUCGAAAAAUAAAUUUUCCAAGAUUUUGGAUAUUCUUCAUUAAGAUAAUAUUUUCCAUGUAUAUAUGUUCAUAUCCUAUAUGAGUAAUUGUGUAUGUUCAUUUUUCAAUAAUCAGGUGAACUUUGUAGUUUGGUUUUUAGUUUUGGAAAUGCGUAGUAAUCCAUUAAUUAGUAUUCACAAAAGCAUUGACAUUCAAUUUUUGAUAUUUAAGCCAUCGGGAUUUUGAUUUAGUGUUAAAGAGGAAACGGUGAAAUCUUAAAAUUUCAUAUUUAAAUUGGCCCUGGGUUUAAAGCUCAAAAAAUUGUCAACUGAAUAAUUUUAUUUGUUUCUAGAUAUGCAAGCUUCAUUUAAGGGCUUAAUAGAAACUUUUUAGGCAAGUAAAGAACGAGUGAAUGAAGUUGGUUUUGAUACGAUAAAAUUAAAGCAGUGUUUGGUAUCAUUUUUUUAAAUUACCACAGCAAUGUAAUUAUCAUGGUGAUAAUAUCACCUAGAUAAUUUAACUACUAAUGAUCUUAGAUUAUUAUAUUUGGUAUAAUAUUAUAAAUCAUUAGUAUUUUCAAAUCACUGUAUUUGAUAUUAUAUAAAAAAAUAAAUCAUACAGUACAAAACAUCCAAAAUAACCUUUAAAAAAUAUUUAAUAUUUAGUAAAUCAAUAGUUUAUAAAAUAGUUAAACAUUAUUUUAUAAACAAAACUAAAAAAUAUAAAUCAAUUUUGAUAAAAAUAAGUUCUAAAAAAUUAUUAAAUAAAUCUAUUAUCUAUUUUUAGUCAAUAUAAAUUUAUAACAUAAAACUCUUUUAGAAUAGAUGAUUAAAAAACCAAUAUUUAAAAUUUUUAAUGACCAGCAUUUUAGGGUAAUGUUAAUUAUAUUUUUCAUGAGGAUAAAUUAGUUAGAAAAAUAAUAUUAAAAAUUACUUUCUCAUAGUGAUAAAACUUUCACAUCAUUUAGGUAGAGAAUGAGAUCACUCAUUAGGCAAUAAUCUGAUCACUCUAAUGAUAAAAUUACUAUUAUAUAAAAUUUUUCAAUUGCUACCAAAUAAGUUGAUGCAAGUGUAAAUCACUAUAACUUUUAAAUAAAUCACCUUAUACCAAAUACUCUCUAAAUGAAUUGAAAAACUUGGUUGGAAUAUUAAAAUAGUGGUAUUGAUCAGGUGGCACUACCUGGCUACUGGUUUAUAAAGUUAAAAUCUUCUUCCUUUGUGUUAUAUUUUUCCUCUUUUCCCUUAAUUUCUAGAGGCCAUUUGGUUCAGUAGGUUACAACAUGAUGUUAGCUACUUAGUUCAAAUUUGUUAAUCAGAAUUUAAUUAUUGUGAGAAGUAUUUCAAAAAUAAAAUUUUAAAUUAACGUAUCAAAUGGAUAUGGGUCAGGAAUUAUUCCUAGAGAAAGGAGGAUUGAUCGUCUUAUAAAAAAAGUAGUGGCAAAAUAUAUUGUUCAUACAAGAUUAGCUCCAAAACUUUCCUUGUUGCAAUGUUUAUUUGGAAUUUCUUGUUGAUGUAGUUUGAGCAAAAGAAAAGGCAUGUUGCCAUGGCAGUUGAAUGCUGCAUAAAACAGUUUGGAGCGUCAAAGCAAGAGGCAUACAAUGAGUGACCUUAAUUGCAUUCUCAAUCUUGCACGAGUAAUUGAUCUCCUUUAUAAGGAUGAUGAUGAUGAGUAUACGCAUUUUGGGGAAGCAGCAAAAACUGGCAUUGCUUCUUUGUUGAUUGACCUAAUCCCAACUUAAGAUGUUUAAUGAAAGAUAUGACGUUGAAUAAUAAAAUUGGAGUUACAUCUUAAGGAAAUUAAUAGAGUAACCUAAGUGGUAAUGGUGGAGUUAGAUAUGAGUAAAGAUUUUAAGUUUGAGCAGCCCUCUACACCCGCGGUCCCGCCGAUCUUGGCUUCCCAUCCCAUGUGCAGACCCCUCAACACGAAACUUAAGCACCUUGCUCCUAGGACAAGAUCACUACUAGAUCCCUCUCUUGGAAUUAAACUCAGAAAACCCCUAUCCAAUGUCUAUGGGUAGGGAUGGUGAUAGAUAAUAAAUAAAUAUAUAUUUUUUAUUAUUUGAUUUGAUUAUGUUAAAUUUAGAUAGUUAAAAAUUAAUAAUUAAUGGAUUUAGAUAAUAGUUUUUAGAUAUUCAAUAUAUGAAUUUAUUUAAGUUUGAAUAAUAAUAAAUAUCUGAAUUUGGAUUCAUUAUCUAGUUACAUAUAUAAAAUAUAUAAAAUUUUGAAUCUAAAAAAAUAAAUUUUUUUAUUAUUAAUUAAGAGUAAAUUUAAAUUUAAAUUUAAAUUUUAUUUAUUUUAUAUUUUAAUAAAAAUUUUAAAUAAAUAAAUAUUUGAAUAUAUUCAAAUAUUUAAAUGGAUAAUAUUUAUUUAAAUAAAUUUGAAGUUAGAUAAUAAUAUUAAAUUUAAAUAAAUAUUUAAAUAAAUUUAAAUAUUAUAAAUAUUAAAUAAAUUCAAAACGAAUAUAUCAAAAAUAGCAAAUAUCUCUUUCAUUAUCGUUCCUAUAUCUGUGGAUUUGACCACCACUCAUAUUCACUGAUAGCCAUGCAUCCUUGACUUGCUUUAACCCAAAACAGUGGCCUCAGCUUUGUUAGAAAGAAUACUUCCACUCCAUCCCAUCCCUUUCCUUCGAAAACCGACUUAUUUCUACCCAACGAUAAUGCCAAAAAUGUGGCAGCACACCGAUAGCCACGUUUUUAUAAUCAGGCCAUGAACCGUUUCACACUUGGCACGCAUGGUCUUUCCAUUAUUCGAAGAGCCUACCAGGACCGCACCUUGGGAAGACCCAGAACCAAAAGUCCAUGCUGUAAAAGACAUGCAGCCGUCACUAUUUUUCUCUUUGAUUUUAACAUUGGAUAAUAGAAAAUAUGUAGCUAGGGUAAACUUUUAUUGUAGUUAGAGAUGGCAAACGGAAGAUGUGGUUUAUAUGGGGAUCCUAUUAUUUCCGGUUUGGGUUGAUUAGAUUUAAAGAUUUUGAUUUGAAUUAAUUUGAAUUAUUUUAAAUUUUGUGUAAGAUAUAAUUAUUUUAGUAUAUUUUUUAAUUUCAAAUCAAAUUUAGAGUUCAAAUUCUUUAAGAUCAAAUUAUUUAGAUUGAAAAUUAAAAUUUUAGAUACGUGAAGAUCUUAAUUUGAGCAUUUUUACUUUUGUGUUAAAUCAAGUUUGGUUAGAAUUUAGGGCGUUCGAGCUUUUUUCAGAUAAAUUUUUAGGUCUUAAUCCAUUUUACAAUAUCUUAUUGUAGAUUAAGUAUAAGUAGAUAUUUUAGAUUAACGGAGAUGGUAGGUCACUGCUCUCAGAAUAUGAUAUUGUGUAUGUGACACAAAAAAUUAUAAAAGGAGUGCAAUUGCUGAUUUUCUACUGAUUGAACUUCAGAAGAUUAGAACCUAUGAAGUUUUGAGUUUCCAGAUGAAGAUUUGAUGGGUAAUCUUGCAGGAUGAGAUAUAGAGCCUGUAGAGAGGAAGUAUGGAAAAUGUUUUCGAUGGAGCAAUCCAAUAUAAUGGGGCAUGGCAUUGAGAACAGUACUAAUAUCCCCAGAAGAAAAUUAUUACCCAUGUACCGAAUAUUAGAUUUUAAUUGGCACAAAACAAUGUCGAUGAAUAUGGGCAUGUGUCAUGGGGUUACAGAUGGCCAUUGAAAAGAAAUUGAAACACUAGAAGUAUAUGAGGAUUCAGCCUUGGAUAAUUUAUCAACUAAAAGGUCGUGAAUGGGAGGACUAGAGACUCGAAACUAGUGUUAUACCAAAGGCACAUAGCUGGCUUGAGGAAACAUUUUAAAGAGAUUCAAUUUCAGCAUGUUCCUCGAGAAGAAAACCAAAUUACUGAUGCCUUGGCUACUUUGGCAGCAAUGUUUAAGUUAAAUAAUAGUAUGGGAAUCCAGCCCAUUAGAGUACAAGUGAAAGUUUCACCAACCCACUGUUCAAAUGUGGAAGAAGAGGUAGAUCGACAACCAUGGUACUAUGACAUUGUGCAAUAUAUCAAGUGUCAAAACUAUCCAGAACAGGCUUUAAAAAAUUAUGAGAGGAUCAUUCAAAGAUUAGCAAUAGGUUUUGUGCUUGACGGAGAAAUUCUGUAUAAAAAAAGUCGAGAUCAGAUUUUGCUAAGGUGCGUCGAUGCUGUGGAAGCGAGAAUGAUACUUGAAGAAGUACACGAAGGAAUUUAUGGAACACAUGCUAAUGGGCAUAUGAUGGCUAAACAGAUCAUGAGAGCUGGUUACUACUGGUUUACAAUGGAAAAUGAUUGCAUCAGUUAUGCCAGAAAAUGCCAUAAAUGCUAAAUUUAUGCAGAUAAAAUUCAUUCUCCUCCAGUCUCGCUGCACGUCUUGGCACCACUAUGGCCUUUCUCCAUGUAGGGAAUGGAUGUGAUCGGACCCAUAACCCCUAAAGCUUCAAAUGGGCAUCGAUUUAUCUUUGUGGUAAUCGAUUAUUUUACAAAAUAAGUGAAAGUAGCUUCGUAUGCUUGUAUUAUGCGAUCAGUGGUGUGUAGAUUUAUAAAAGAGAGAUAAUAUGUCGGUAUGGUCUCCCAGAAAGGAUUAUCUCAGAUAAUGCUAGCAAUUUAAAUAAUAAAAUGAUGAAAGAAUUAUGUGCACAGUUCAAGAUCAAGCAUCAUCAUUCAGCACCAUAUCGUCCAAAAAUGAAUGGUGCAGUGGAAGCUGCGAAUAAGAACAUCAAGAGAAUAUUGGGGAAAAUGACUGACACAUAUAAGGAUUGGCAUGAAAAGUUACCUUUUGCUUUGCUUGCCUAUAGAACAUCAAUCCGAACCUCCACAGGGGCCACCUCGUUUUCACUAGUGUAUGGGAUGGAAGCUGUACUGCCAAUUGAAGUGGAAAUUCCUUCUCUGAGGGUGUUGAUGGAGAUAAAAUUGGAUGAGGUAGAAUGGGUUCAAGAUCAUUUCGAGCAACUGAAUCUUAUUGAAGAGAAAAGGCUCUCAGCACUCAGUUAUGGACAAAUGUAUCAAAAAGAAUCAUGCGAGAACAUGACAAAAGGAUACGAUCCCGAUGCUUUCAUGAGGACGAAUUGGUUUUGAAAAGGAUUUUGCCAUAUCAACAUGACAAUAGAAGAAAAUAGACCCCCAACUGGGAAGGUCCAUAUGUGGUAAAAAAAAACUUUUUUUGGUAGGGCUCUGAUCCUUACAGAAAUGGACGGAGAUGAAUUGCCAAGUCCUAUAAAUUCAGACAUUGUCAAGAAAUAUUUUGCUUAAAAAAAAAGCAAAAAUAUAUAAAAAAACAACAAAAAAACAAUAAAAAUGAAAAAAAUGGAAAAAAUGAAAAAAAAUAAGAAAAGAAGUGAUUCAGAUUGAAAACCCGAAAAGGACGGUUUGAGUCAAAAGGGGGUCAUUUAAGCUAAAAACCUAUAAAGAUGGCUUGAAUGAAGGUGGAACUCGAAGAAAGUUUUUUCUAAAGAACAAAUGAGUGGCACCAAAUGAACGAAUUGUCACCAGAAUUAAAAGAUAUGACUUUUAGGGGGCAAGUAGUUCUCAUUAGUCACAGAUGUGGGAUAAAGAUUGGUAAUAUGAAAUCACAGGUGACAAGAUCGUAAAUGUAUCGAAUUUUUGGGAAAAGACCUGGUCUGAGUAGGCCGAAGUCGUCCAAAUGUUCAUUAUUUAGAGAAUUGAUAUUUGAUUUUUGAAAUACUUUUGAAUCAAUUAUUCUUUAUGUCUCGAAAAGCUUAUCUUUCUAAACCUGAAAUAUCUUAUUACUGAUAAUAUUGCACACCCAACUUUGAACCUGAAAUCAUUGCAUUUGUCAUUGAAAAUUAAGAUAUUGAUUAAUAAAGUUCAUAAUAGACCAAUGUAUCACUCGAAAAGAGAAUGCAAUAUGAGGAUGACAAAAAUAGCAACAUGGGGCAGAAAGAAUGAAAAGAAAUCGAUUGAUUACUAAGGAUAAAGAGGAAAAAAGGGAUAAAAAAGAAAGAGAUUUUAGAGCGACUAAAAGCCAGAUGGGUCCGUCAUGAGACAGAGAUUUCUGGUCAAAAAUUGAAAGAGUCAAAAGGACGAGAUUACUAAAAGCGACUUUUAAAGUUUGAAAGAAUUGAACCAAAAGUUGAAUUAACUUGGAUGAAAUGCAUGAUAUAAUUCGUUGACGGCGUCUUUGUCUUUUCAUUCAUCACAAUCAUUGCAUGCAUUACAUGCCUCUCGAUAAGUUGCAUAGAAGGUUUUUUUAUGAGAUAUCAGGAAGAAUCAACAUUUUUUUUUCUCGAAACAAAAAUGAUGGCCUUGAAGAUGGUAUGUUAGCAUAAUUUUUAAAAUUGAAACUAUUGGUCUAUGAAGUACCCAAUCUCUUAUUUCUUAACUCACAGCUCAGUCUUAUAUAGUUCUUCGACUUGCGGUUCAAUCUCAGUCAUCUUAAUCUUUGGCUCGCGAUUUAAUCUCGAUCAUUUCAUUAUUUCUCUGACUUGCGAUUCAGUCUCAAUCAUCCUUAAUCUUUGACUCGCGAUUUAAUCUGUGUCAUUUCAUUAAUUCUCUGACUUGUGGUUCAUUCCCAAUUGUCUUUAAUCUUUGACUCGUGGUUUAAUCCCGGUCAUUUUAUUCUCUGACUUGCGGUUCAAUCCUAGUCAUCUUUAAUCUUUGACUCGUGAUUUAAUCCCGAUCAUUUCAUUAAUUUCCUGACUUACGGUUCAGUUUCAGUCAUCUUUAUCUUUUGGCUCAUGGUUUAAUCCCGAUCAUUUCAUUAAUUUCCUGACUUGCGAUUCAGUCCCAGUCAUCUUUAUCUUUUGGCUCGUGGUUUAAUCCGGGUUAUUUAAUUAUUUCUCUGACUUGCAGUUCAAUCUCAGUCAUCUUUAAUCUUUGACUCGUGGUUUAAUCUCAGUCAUUUCAUUAUUUCUCUGACUUACGGUUCAAUCCCAGUCAUCUUUAAUCUUUGACUCAUGGUUUAAUCUCGAUCAUUUCAUUAAUUUCCUGACUUGCGGUUUAGUCCCAGUCAUCUUUAAUCUUUGACUCGCGGUUUAAUCCCGAUCAUUUCAUUAAUUCUCUGACUUGUGGUUCAUUCCCAAUCGUCUUUAAUCUUUGACUCGUGGUUUAAUCCCGAUUAUUUCAUUCUCUGACUUGCAGUUUAAUCCCAGUCAUCUUUAAUCUUUGACUCGUGGUUUAAUCCUGGUCAUUUCAUUCUCUGACUUGCGGUUCAAUCCCAGUCAUCUUUAAUCUUUGACUCGUGGUUUAAUCUCGAUCAUUUCAUUAAUUUCCUGACUUACGGUUUAGUCCCAGUCAUCUUUAAUCUUUGGCUCGUGGUUUAAUCUCGAUCAUUUCAUUAAUUCCCUCGACUUACGGUUCAGUCCCAGUCAUCGUUAAUAUUUGAUUCGUGGUUUAAUCCCGAUCUUCUUAUUCUUCGAUUCGUGGUUCAAUCCCGAUCUCUUUAAUUUAAAAUCGUAGUUUAAUCUCGAUUGUUGUUGUUAUCUUCUGACUCGUGGUUUAAUCCCAGUCUCCUCAUUUUUGACUUGUGAUUCAAUCCAAGUUCAAUCCUGAUCUUGUUAUUCCUUGACUCGUAGUGUCGUCCCGAUCACUUUCUUUAUUAUUCGACUUUCAGUGUUGCCUUAAUCGAUUCUUUGUUUGUCAACACACAAUGUCAUUUUCUUUAUCACUUGACCUAACCUAAAAAAAAAAAUCUAUUUGGAUUCUGGACAAAAUUGUUAUCUUUGUCUUUGCUCUAUUACUGAUUAUCAGUAAUGUGCAAAGAGGGACAGCUGUGGACAUCAAUUUUUGUCCCAAAAUAAAAUAAAAUAAAAACAAUAAUAUUACAAAAUACGAAAUACAAAAAAAAUACCAAAAAUAAUACAAAAUACAAAACAAAAAUACAAAAUAAAAAAAUACAAAAAAAAGAAUAGAAGAUAAAAAAAAUCAAGGAUGGCAGUGGUGCCGUCUCCGGCACCACUGCCACCAGACCCUACCCUCCACCCCUCUAAUUACUCCUUCCGUUGACAAACGUCAAAUAAGACAGAAAUGAAUAAAAAAGGCAUGGGGCUCGUGUUUACAUCCCGUGAUCGAGCUCCAUGCCCUUCCCUCCAAACGCAUAUGGCUGGAGCUCUAUAAAUAGAGCUCCUAGCGAAGCUAAAACAGAUAGAGAAGAAGGAGGGGGAGAUUCUAUCAAAAACAAAAAAAAACCACAAAAAAAAUCAAACAGUCCUCCCCACAGAGAGGAACCCAGCGCCGAAAGCCCCUGCACAAAGAAAAAUCAAAGUCAGUUUCAAAAAAAAAAAGAUCUGACCGAAACUUCACUAGUAGAUCUAAGGAAGUGGGGACACUUUUUGGUGAAAAAGACCUUAGAUCUGAACUCAGUAGGUCGAGGGAAACAUUUUGGUAUUUUCUGAGAAUUUUUUGACCACCGUCAACGGUGGUCGGUGAUCGAUGAACGGCGACAGCAGCGGUGGAGGAUCGGUCGGCCACUGCGUUUGGCCGGAGAGAGAAAAAAAUGAGAGAAAAGAAGCUUUUUUUUUUAAGAAUGAAAAGAAUGAAGGAAAAAAUUUUUUAACUUUUAUAUAAACUGUCAAUAGCCAAAACGACGUCGUUUCAAUAAAAGCCCAAAACGACGUCGUUUAGGCCAAAGAGGAUCCGCGCGUUGACUCGGACCCGACCCGGGGUCCAUGCCAACCGACCCGCUAACCCGACUUCUCAGCGGCUCUGAAUCGGUUUGAUCAGACCGGAUCGAACCGCUCCCCAGGAUCGGCUUGAACCACAGCUCAGUCGGCUCAAUUGAACCAUCGCUGAACCGAACCUUUUUUGGUCCAACCGAACCUCCGUUGAUCGGAUGGUUGACUGGUCCGGUUCAGGUAAAAAUUUUUUUUUCAUUUUUUUAAAUUUUCUAAUUUUUUAUAUAAUAUUAUUUUUGUUAUUUUAAGUAUUUUUUUAUAUAUUUAUGCGUGAUAAGUUUUAAAUUUGUUAGGAUAAGUUUUUUUUUUAAUUGUUUUAAUAAUAAUAAAAUGAAAGUAAGUAAGAUAAUAAUUAAAAUAUAUAUUAAAAAUGUUUAAGAUAAUAAUAAUAAUAAUAAUAGAAUAAUAAUUAUUAUUUUCCCUGCCUAGAUGUUGGAGGGAAUAAAAAAAAAAUUUCUUAAAGAAAUAAUUUCGCCUAGAUGUUGGGAAAUUAUUAUUAAUAAAUUUUCAUAAAAAGAAAAAUAAGAAAUUUUUUAAUUAAUUUUUAAAAAUCAUUAAAGUCGAACUUGCUUCGAAAAUCCAUCUAAAUGUUGGAAAUUUUUAGAGAUGUUCAUAUUUUCUUAAAAAAUGAAACCCCUAAAAAUCUAAAAUCUCUUAAAUUCAAACCCCCUAAAAACCAAAACCCCCAAAUCGAAAUCUCAAAUUUUAAACUCUUAAUCGAAAUCCCUAAAAAUUCAAUCCUUAAAUUAAACCCCAACUCAAAUUUUAAAAUCAAAAAAAUCAUCAAACUCUUAAAAUCAAAACCCUAAAUCUUCCAUUCUAAAAUUCAGCUUAAAACCUCUAACCUUAAACUAAAUCUUCAAAACCAUCUAUCAAGCCUUAUAAAACUCCAAAAUCUUAAGGACACAUUUAAAUUCUAUUUGAAGCAAUUUGUUCCCGAAUGCCGUCUAGAUGAUGAGGUAUUUAGGAAAUUUUACUUCGUUAAGUCUUUUCACACAAUUUCUUAAUUCGCAUUAAUAAUAAGAUUAAUGAAUAAAAAGUAUAAUAAUAAAAUUAGGAUCUUAAAUAUAAACAGUCACACCUAAGCUCUGCUUUGAUGUUGGAAAGUCGGGUGGUCUCAUUAUACUUAAGAAUCCAACUCUUAAAUUGUUUUUCAUUGUAAAUGACAUUCAUUAGCAUACAUACGUUAGCAUGUUAUCAUCGAUAAUUGAUUGCAUUAUUCUCUCUUUAAUUUACUGUUCGAUGAUAAAAUAUUUUAUAGUAAAAAAAAAGAAUAAUACUUAAAAAAAAUCUUUUUGUGAUAUUAUAAAAUAAAUUAAAAAUAACAUUCUGAAAGAAAUAAUUCUUAGUACUCUGCCUAGACGUUGGAGAGUCACUAACAAUUAGUUUCUAUAAAGAUUAUUAUUUCAUUUUAAGUAUUAUUGUGUUCAAUCUUAGGUGAAAAGAGUUAUUUUUAAAUUAUGCCUAGAUGAUGGAGAAUUUUAAGAUAAUUCUUUAACUUAAAGAUUUUCUCAAUAGUUCUAAAUAAAUAUUUUAGCAAAAUUUUAUUUUUUUCAAAUGAAGGGAAUUAGUGUUAAAUUUCAAAUUAAAAUCAUUUUUAUCUAACACCGAAAAUAGUGUAUAAUUAAAUGGUACCAAUUUAUGGGUGUUGCUGGGGUGCUAAUCCUUCCUCACGUGUAACCAACUCCCGGACCCAACCUAGUUUUUCAUAGAUCAAAAUUUAUCUUUUUGAUAAACUUUAAACCCGAUUUUAUAGUUUUAUUAAAAGGAUAAACUUUUGGGUGGCUAAUCAUACCCUAACAAAGAUUGGUGGUGAAUCCUCUUUUAUUUUUUUUGAUUUUAAAACUCAUUUUACGUCUGACGGUCAAAAAAUCAUUACGACAAAUUCAAACGGUUAUAAACCAAAUCUCCUGAAGAAAGUCUUCUCAAAUUUUUGCAAAUCUAGUUUCAACUGAUCUUGAUGAUACCAUGUCUAAUGAAAAGCGUCAUUUGGCUAAUUUUAGGCCUCACUUUUGAGGGAACAUUUUCCUCUCCUGUCCUGAAAUGGUAUGUAUGAAAACCUCUUUCAGUGUACGUUUUUGUGUAAGAUCAUAUUAAUUUUUACAGCCUUCUAAUUUUCCACAUUUAUAUCAUCAAAUUAAUUAACUAAUUGUCAUACUGUUGGCAAAAUGAGUUUCUUUCUAAUUUCUACUGCUUCUUCUUUCUUUUCUUAUUAUUUAGAGUUCUUUUUUAUAUACUAACAGUAAAUUAUUUUAAUUUUACAAGUGAGGAUAAAUUUUUUUAUAUAUUUCACUUAUUUUUUAUUUUUUACUAUACAUUAAGAGAUAUGUGUUAUUACAUUAAUUUGAAAAUUUAAAACUUCACUCUCGUCUCUUUUUUAGUCAAAGGAGGCUGUACCUGAAUAACUAUGUGUAGACACCUAAUUUGGUCUAGGCCUAGAUCAAUUAGGCCUGGUUCGAUAGGGUCAAUAAUUUAUUAAUUUUUUUAUUAUUUCAUAUUUAAUUUUUUUAUUUUAUUAUCAUUUUGAAAUUUAUAUUGAUUAUUUAUUUAUUUAUUAUUAUUAUUAUUAUUUUAGGAGAUAAUGAUGGUGAAAAAACAAACAGCAAGGAAUCUUACCAUGAAUGGGGCAAGAUAGAAUCAUAAUUGGACUUAAUACUUAUAGGAUAAGUCUAAUGGUUUUAUGAUAAUAUAGAAUUCUGAUCAAGGGAGGACUUAGAAUCGAUUAGAAACUCUUCUGAUCACAACUUAUAAAUACCUACAUUGAUCAGAGGCAAAAGACACAGAAAAAACACAUAAAAAUAGAAAUAAAAAAAAUCACAAGUAGAAAGCAAUCAAAAAGUUUUUCAAAAAUUUUUUGGUUUAGGGGAAAAAAGGAAAUUUUUUUGAAAAAUCUAAAAAAUUCUCAGAUUUGAUGAAAUUUUUCAAUUUUCGGUGAAUUUUUCAGUGCCGAUUAAAUUUUUUGAAGACUUUUUCGGCGCAGGUGAAAUUUUUUGGUAGGGUUUUCAAAAUUUGGUGAAGAUUCCGGUGAAGUUUGAAUUUUUUGACAAUCGUCUGGCGAACUAACCUAGAUUUUGAUGGUAUUUUCCAGAAUCCGGUUGAUAUUCAACUAGAGAUUCAACCAGGUUAGAGAGAAAUGGGAAGAAAAGAAAAGGAAAGUGAAAUAUGAGGAAAAAGGUUGGAGCUACUUUUUAUACAAUGCCCAAAAUGACAUCGUUUUUACCUUAAGAAGACCCCAUGAUCUGUGUGUUUUUAUUCAGAUAAUCUGACCCGACCAUAACCCGCUUCGCUAACCCGUGCCUAAACCUAGCCAAAUCGAGCUCUUAAGUCGAGUUGCUAAGCCAUUUCGUUUUUCUUUCUGGUUUUUUUUAUGUUAUUAUGUGUUUGUGUUUUAGUAUUUUUUUAUAAUUAAAUUUAGAAAAAUAAAUAAAAAAGGUAAAAGAAUAAAAUAAAUUUUGGGAACAAAUAUUAAUUAUCCAAUGAUGGAAGUUAUAGAAAUUUCAAAUGGUAAAUUUUUAAUAAAAUUCCUAGGUGAGAAAUUUUUUCUAAAUUUGUCAUAAAUGGUGGAAUAAUUUAGAUAAAGUUUUAAUAAUAAUAAUUAAUAUUUAUUUUCAAAACAAAAAAUAAAAAAUAAAAAGAAAAAAUAAAAAAAUAUUGAUAAAAAAUUUGGAAUGAAGUACAAAUUAUCCAAGGAUUAGAUUUUUAGAAAUUUCAAAUAAUAAAUUUCUAAGAAAUCUUUAGGUGAGAAAUUUUCUCUAAAUUUGUCUCAAAUGGUGGAAUAAUUUAGAUGAAAUUUCAAUAAAAGUAAUUGUAUUCUUUUUCAAAUUUGGUUGAAAAUAUUUUAUAAUUAUCCAAUGAUGAGAUUUUUAAAAAUUUCAAAUGGUAAAUUCCUAAGAAAUCUCUAAGUGAAAAAUUUAUUUAACUUUGUCCCAAAUGGUGGAAGAAUUUAAAUGAAAUUUUAAUAAAAAAUAAUUGUCAUAUUAUUUUCUUUUCAAAAAAAAAUAAAUAAAAAGAAUUUCUAAAUAUGCCUAAAUGGUGAAGAAUUUAGAAAUUCAAAACAAAAAAAUAUUUCUAAUUUGGCCUAAAUGGUAGAAUAAUUAGAUAUAUUUUUGAUAAUAAAAUAAUAAAUAAACUUUUUUUGACGACGGAGUCUUUUUAAGAAAUCAAAUGGGAUUCUUGAAUACUCUUGAGGUGAGAAAAUAUUUUUAAGAAUUCUACCAGAUUGAUGAAAAAAUCUUAUAAAUUAUUUUUAAUAUUUAACAUAAAAAUUUGAAACCAUUAGACUCAAGACCCUAGAAUAAAUUUAAAAUAAUAUGGUACCAUCCUUUGGAUGGGCAUAUAGGGGUGCUAUAACCUUUUCCACAUGUAACCGAACUUUUGAACCCUGUUCUGGUUUGUAGACCUAAACCUAUUCUUUUAGGGACCCUUAGUCAAGCUUAGGAGCUCCUUAAAAAGAUAGAUUAAUUAUAUGUCCAAUCACACCUAGUUAAAAAGAAGAUUGGUGGUGACUUUAUUUGUUAAGUCUAGCUAUAGAUUUAUGGAUCUAUAUGUUAUGACAGUUUGGUGACUCUACUAGGGAUGAUACAGAGUCAAGCCAUAAACUUUUAAAUUUAUCCUAUUUUUUGAUCUAAUGGUUUUUAAUUGUAAUUAUCUAUUUACAAACGUUUUCUCUUUUAUUUUUAGGGCAUAAAAUCUAUAUGUUCCUUCACACACACUAUCACUUGCCUUUGCAUUACAUGAGCUUUAUACCCGAGCUUUGUCCCUUUUAGGAGGGAGUAAAGUAUCCAUAUUUGUGUAAGAUGAUAAUAUCUGCAAUAACUAGUGAAAUACUCCCACUCAAAUUGAAUUCUUUCCAUUAGUAGCCUGUGAUGGGUAAGGAUUGGUAUGCCUUACUAGUUUGUGAUGAAUGAUGAUGUAAGAAACAAUUUAGGAACCUUUAGUGGUCAAAAUCACUUAACCUUACAUAUAGUGUACACUUAAGAAGGUAGCCCUAGGAUAGAGCCCUUCCUACCCAAUGAUAGAUAUACCCCAAAACUAGGAUACAAGAAGGCACAAUUUAUGUUUAUCUAACCGUUUUGAUUGUUUGACUUUAUGUAUUUGCAUUAUCAUGUCAUACAUCAUUUUCAUUGUCAUAUAUAACAUUUUGCAUCUACCUCAGAUUCAUAUCAGAUUUUAUUCAUCAAAAUGUACAUUUCAUUCAUGCUUCAACAUACUAAACAUAAAGUAUAUCAUCUUAUUUUUUAUUAUAAUUAUGGUAUCAAGGUUCAAAGAUAGCUCUAUCAGCCAAGAUCACACACAAUCAACUCUCCAGUACAAUAUAAAAGCUUAAGCAAAAUAAAUGGAAUAAGAAAAUUUCAAUCAUCUUGAGAGGAUAAAGAAAGCUCAAGAGAAGCUAAAAGGAGAGUUGAAUAGGAUUUUAGAGGCUUUGAACAAAUUAAACAAAGGGAAAGGUAUAGAAGAAAGUACUAGUCAACAAGACCAUCUAUCACAAAAGGUGGAUGACCCACUGUACCCUCUUAGUUUUAGGUCACAUCAAGCCCAACAAGCACAAGAUCCAUUACCACAGCAGUUCACCUAUCUUGUAAGGUACACAUAUACUGGAAUGUCAGUACAAGGUCCACUACCACAGCAGUUCACUUAUCCUAUAGGGUACACAUACCCUAGAAUGCCAUCAGCUUCAAACCCUGAACAAUAUUAUAGUUAUGUAAAUCAUGUCUUUACAAAAAAGAUAGUAGAACUAGUUUAGGUCCCUAAUUUGGACGAUCCAAAGGAGAACAAAAAGUUAAAAUCAAAAGUGGGUGAGUUACUGAGAAACUUAAAAGCUGACCAAAAGAUUAGUAUGCUAGAAAAGAGUCUACGAGCAGUAGAAGAAAUUAGUUUUUAUGGUUCUAUGAAUGCUGCUAAGGUCUGUUUAGUCUCAGGUGUGGUUAUUCUUUCAAAGUUUAAGGUACCAAAAUUCAAGAAGUAUGAUGAUACAAAGUGUCCAAAGACCCAUAUUACCAUGUACUAUAAAAAAAUGGUAGCCAAUGCUAAUAAUGAAAAACUGUUAAUACAUGUGUUCUAAGACAACCUCACAGGCUUUACUGCUUUGUGGUAUGUUCAGUUGAAUAGGACUUACAUUCAUUCUUAGAGUGAUAUGACCUAUGACUUUAUUAAUCAGUACUGACAUAUUAUAAACUUGGCCUCGGAUCGCUUAUCUUUAUAGAACAUGGAGAAAAAGGUAAAUGAAUCAUUUAAAGAAUAUGCCCAGAGGUGAAGGGACAUAACUUCUCAAGUGCAACCCCUUUUGACUGAAAAAAAGACCAUGGUGUUGUUUAUCAGCAUUUUGAAGUCUCCCUAUUAUGAAAAAAUGAUAAAAAAUGUAAUAAAGAACUUCGUUGAUACGGUGAUCUCAAGUGAAAUUAUUAAAAAUGCCAUUAAAAAUGGCAAGUUGAAAGGAAGAGAAACCAAGAAGAUGCCUAAAAAAAAAGAGACUAAAGCUCAAGUUGUAAGCUUUGGUAGACAAUUCAUGAGAUAUCAAUCCUAUCCAUCACAUGGUUAUUCCCUAUACUAUUCAGCUGUGAAUAAUGCCUUAUCCUACCCAUACCAGCUAGCUCCACAAUAAUCUUAUUCAUCCACAUACUAACCCAUUUUUAGGCCACCAAGCUCCUAUAUACAUCUUUAACAUCCAACCUCUUGUAAGACCCCAAAUUCGUCCUGCUAACUCAACAAGUGAUUCACGAGAGCAACAACAAUUCAAGAAAAAUUCGUAUUUGAUCCAAUCCCCAUGACUUAUACGGAGUUAUACAGAGAGCUUUAUAAUAAUCACUUAAUUGCCUCAAGUCAUUUAAAACUGCACAAGCUAUCCUAUCCCAAGUGGUAUGAUCCUACCGCUCAUUGUGACUACCACUAUGAAAUUAUCGAUCAUUCCACAGAGAAUUACACUGCCCUAAAGCAUAAGGUGCAAUGAUUGAUCAAGGAUGGAAUGACAAACUUUGAUCAAGGAGGAGCAACAACACCAAUGUUAGUGGCAAUCCAUUGCCUAAUCACAAUAUUAAUACUUUGAGUGAGAAUAAAGAAAACGUUGAUCCAAAAAGGCCUAAAGAGCUACACUAAAUCAAGGAGCCAGAAGAUAAGAAAAAUCUUUCACUUGAUCACAUAGGGGCAUAGUUUUGGAUAGGAGAAAGAUGUUAAGGUUGGUUGAAUGUUGCUUAUCAUUCUAGGAUUUCUUUCAAAAGUAAUGUUAGGAUUUCUUUUAGGCAAUAGGAUUUCAUUUGUUAUCAUUUUAAUAAAAGGCAAGUUAAUGCAUUUUAUUACAUUUUUUUUCAUACUUUGUCACCUUUUAUAAUUUUUCAUUCCCAUUUUUGAAUUUCAAAUGAUGAAUGUUUAGGCAAGGUCAAAAAUAAUUCUGGGAUUAAAUUUUGAGAACUCAUUCACAUUGAUUUGAGUAGAUUAUUUGAAAAAAAAAGCUACUGGCAGAUGCGAAAUAUAUAUAUCUUAAAGAUGUGUAGUUUUUUAUAAAUAUCCAUGAUCUUAUUUUUUUCAAUAGAUGAUCUUCAAGGAAAGCAUUCACAUUUGAGAUGAAAAAUGUCCUCUUUAUUUUUUCAUUUAAAAAACCAUUCAUUAUUACCCUUUUUGAGCCUAUUAUAAUUUUUUUUUCUAAAUAACCCCGAUCAAAGAUUACCCUCCACACUAGUAGGCAAUUUUUGAAAAAGAAAAAAGGCAAAAGAUCAUAAAGAGUCUUAAACAUAGAAAGACAAAAGUAAAACAAAGAAAAAAAAAAGAAAAAAAUGAAUGCCACACAUUAUUUGGGACAAAAUAGAGAGAGUCUUUUUGUGAGGAAUAAAAUGAGUGAAAAGGGAAAAAAUAAUGAAAUGAUGUAGGGUAAAAUGCCAAAUUGUAUCAAGUGAUCCUUUGGUUUUGAACCCUUUAAACACAUAUUUUGAGACUAUUUUAUCCAUUUCUUUCAUGACCCCUUACCAUGGCCUACAUUACAACCUUUAAAAGUUUAUUUAGAUCAAAUAUGAAUGCUCAAAUUGAAUGAUCAUAUGUUAGGCUAAGGCAUGCUUAUGAUGGGGUAAUGAAAUGUCUUUUAGAAAUUGAUGUGUGAGAGAUAUCACUAAUGAAUAGAAAAAAAAUGAAAAAAAAUGAAAGAAAAAAUAGAAGGAAAAAAUAAAAAAAAAAGAAAAAAAUGAAAGAAUGAGAAAAUAUAAAAGUGAGAAAACGAAGACUCAAAUUAAAAACUCGAAAAGGCAAUUUUGGUAGAAAAUCUUCAAGUUGAGAGUUGGAUAAACAGUUCACAUAAAGAAAGAUCAAAGAUAUUUGAAGAUCCUUUAAAGCUGGAGUAAAAUUUGAUAAGCUCAAAAUGAUUUUUGAAAAGUUAAUGGAAUGAGUUUUUGAAAAAUUCUAGAUUAAUGUUAAGAAUUAUCUGAGUAUUCAUUGUUUGGAUAUUGUUCCUCCAUUUGUUCACUUACCAUUCUUAAGGAUAUACUUUGAAUGAAUUCCUAUGCCCAUUUGUUUUUAUACCAGACUCAUUCCCUAUUGAUUGCCUUUCUCCCAAUUCACCUUAUGCUCUUUUUAUUCUUACAUCCUUAAAAUAAAUUGAGAAAAUGUCUAAUUGUAUUAUAGUUAUCAAAAAUUGAAAUAACGAUGAAUGAAUGACAAUGUGCAUAAAAGAUUCUUACAUUCUUUUGAAAAGAAAUUCAUGAUGAUAGAGGGCGAAAAAUGAUGAAAAGAUUACAAAAACUUGAAAAAAUGACACAUGAGAUGGCUAAAUGAUGAACACGGUGAUGGAUUGCUCAACAAAAUGAAUAGAAGGUAAAAAUCUAAAAAGAUGAUAUGAUCCAGAAAUGUAUAUGGUGAUGGAUUGACUGAUAUAACUUAUGAGUUAUGGUCAAAUGAUGGAAAUAAUGUGGAUCAAGGGAUGAAAUUUGUUUUUUUAGUGCUGAUGAGCCUAUGAGUCGAGUGAUGGAAAAAAUAAAGAUCAGUUGAUGAAAUGGCUAGUGCUAAAAGUCUGUUAACUAUGAUUAAAUGAUGAAUGAAACUUGUUCUGAAGUGGUUAGUGCUGAAAAACCAAUGAGUGGCAACCGAGUGAAGGAGGACUGAAACUUGUUUUGAAAUUGCUAAUGCUGAGAAGUUUAUGAAUGAUGAUCAAGUGAUGGACACGACAAUGAUUGGUUGAUAAAAUUUAUUCUAAAGUGCGAAAAAGAUAAAAAUGGGAAAAAGGUGAGAUGAUGGGGUUUUGAGAACCAUGUUACCACAUUUUGAUUAGAAUUUCAUGACAUUGACAUCGAUAUUACAUACAUUGCAUUUGCAUUGUUAUUUGGAGAAUAUUUGAAACUUAGGUUUGGCUAUGCAUUUGCAUUCUAUAAUAAACAUUUGAAUCAUGGUUAAGAAUAUUGCAUUAUGAGAAUCUAGAUUGUUGCAUUUGCAUCAUUGAUCAUGACAUUCAUUACAUACAAAAUUUUGACUUUGGUAAAAGUUUGAAAGUCAUCUGAAAAAGAAAUUUAGAAUCUUUUGAUAAAGUUUUUUAAGGCAAGAUUGUGAAUCCUCAAAUGAGAAUUUUUGAAUUUCAAAUAAGAAUCUUUGAAUUUCAAAUGAGAAUCUUUGAGUUUUCAAAUGAGCAUUUUGGGCUUUGAGUUUUAAAUGAGAAUCUUUGAGGUAUGAGACCCUAAAAUUUAUCGGAUGUGAAUCUUGGAACUCAAAUAAGAAGUUUUGAAUUUUUGGAUGUGAAUCUCAAAAUUCAAACAAAAAGCUUAAACUUUUUGGAUCUGAACCCCAAAUUUUGUCAAAUGUGAAUCUUUGAACUCGAAUGAGAAGUUUUGAAUUUUGGAUGUGAAUCUCUAAAAUUCAAAUGAGGAUCUUUAAAUGUUAGAUGCGAGUCUUAUAAUUUGUAAAUGCGAAUUUAAAAGGUAAGAAUCAAAAUUCAAUGAAUUCUUAUGAAGCUGAAAGGUCCUUGCAAAUUUGAACCUUUGAAUUUCAAUCUCAAAUUAUGAAUCUUUGAGUUCCAUUACAAAUUCCAUCAGACCUAAUCUGACUCUUCCAAACAUAAUUGUCGAGGAACAUUUUAUUUCAAAAGUCGUUGAGCCUCUGUUUAAAGGAGCAUUUAUUUUUCAAAGUUGUGGUGCCUCUGUUUAAAGGAGAAAUUAUUUUUCAAAGUUGUGUGCCUUUGUUUAGAAUUGUUUAAAGGAGUAAUUUAUUUUCAAAGUUGUGGUGCCUUUGUUUAGAAUUAUUUUUCAAAGUUGUAGUGUCUCUGUUUAGAGGAGCAAUUUAUUUUUUAAAGUUGUGGUGCCUCUAUUUAUAGGAGCUUUGUUUACUUUUUCAAAAAAAAAUAGAUGAAUUUGUUGGGGUGAUCAUAUUUGGGGUGUUUACGUCUUUGCAUAAUUUCUAUUACACAAGAAAUGCGUAAAGAGGGGCAGCUGUAGACACCAAAUUUGAUCCAGACCUGGAUCAAUUAGGCCUGAUCCAAUGGGGUCAAUAAUUUUUUGAUUUUCUGAUUAUUUCAUAUUUAUUUUUGUUUUAUUUUAUUAUCAUUUUGAAUUUUAUAUUGAUUAUUUAUUUAUUUAUUAUUAUUAUUAUUAUUUUAGGAGAUAAUGAUGGUGAAAAACAAAGGCAAGGAAUCUUGCUGUGAAUAGGGCUAGAUAAAAUCAUAGUUGGACUUAAUUCUUAUAGGAUAAGUCUAAUGGUUUUAUGAUAAUACAAAAUUCUAAUCAAAGGAAGGCUUAGAAUUGAUCAGAAACUCUUCUGAUCACAGCUUAUAAAUACCCACAUUGAUCAGAGGCAAGAGACAUAGAAAAAAGACACAGAAAUAGAAAUAAAAAAUCACAAGUAGAAAGCAAUAAGAAAAUUUUUUGAAGAUUUUUGGGUUUAGGGGAAAAAAGGAAUUUUUUUUGGAAAAAUCUAGAAAAUUCCUAGAUUCCGACGAAAUUUUCUAGCUUUUGGUUAAUUUUUCGAUGCUAGUUGAAUUUUUUUGUAACUUUCGGUGCUGGUUGAAUUUUUUGGUAGGGUUUCCAGAAUCCGAUAAAGAUUCCAACGAAGUUUGAAUUUUUUGGCGAUCAUCCGGUAAACCAACCCAAAUUCUGGCAGUAUUUUCCAGAAUCCAAUUAAUAUUUAAUCGAAGAUUCAAUCGGGUUAGAGAAAAGGAAGAGGAAAGAAAAAGGAAGAGAGAGAAGGGGAAAGUGAAAUCUAAGGAAAAAGGUUGGGAGCUGCCUUUUAUACAAGGCCCAAAAUGAUGUCAUUUUCACCUUAAAAACACCCCAGGAUCCACGUAUUUUUAUUCAAGUAAUCCAACUUGACUGCAACCUACUUCACCAACCCACGCCCCAACCUAGCCAACUUGAGCCGAGCCGAGCUCCUGAGCUAAGUUGCUGAGCCAUUUUCUAUGUCUGAAGUUGAGCCACGCCGAGCCGUUAAGUUGAGCUAUUUCAUUUUUUUAUUUUUUUUGUAUUCUGUUGGUAUUUUUUAUUUUAUUUAUGUGUUUGUGUUUUAGUAUUUUGUAUAAUUAAAUUGAGAAAAAAUAAAUAAAUAAGGUAAAAAAGUAAAAUAAAUUUUGGGAAUAAAUAUUAAUUAUCCAAUGAUGGAAUUUAUAGAAAUUUCAAAUGGUAAAUUUCUAUAAAAUUUCUAAUGAGAAAUUUUGCCUAAAUUUGUUCUAAAUUGUGAAAUAAUUUAGAUAAAGUUUUAAUAACAAUAAUUAAUAUUUAUUUUCAAAACACAAAAAAUAAAAAAAAAAUAAAAAAUAUUGAUAAAAAUUUUGGAAUUAAGUACAAAUUACCCAAAGAUGAGAUUCUUAGAAAUUUCAAAUUGUAAAUUUUUAAGAAAUCUCUAGUGAAAAAUUUUCUCUAAAUUUGUCCCAAAUAGUGGAAUAUUUUAGAUGAAAUUUUAAUAAAAGCAAUUGUAUUCUUUUUUAAAUUUGGUUGAAAAUAUUUGAUAAUUAUCCAAUGAUGGGAUUUUUAGAAAAUUUAAAUGGUAAAUUCCUAAGAAAUCUUUAGGUGAGAAAUUUCUUUAAAUUUGUCCUAAAUGAUGGAAGAAUUUAAAUGAAAUUCCAAUAAAAAAAUAAUUAUCAUAUUAUUUUUUUCAAAAAAAAAUAAAUAAAAUUUCUAAAUAGGCCUAAAUGGUGGAGAAUUUAGAAAUUCAAAACAAGAAAAUAUUUCUAAUUUGGCCCAAAUAGUGAAAUAAUUAGAUAUAUUUUCAAUAAUAAAAUAAUAAAUAAAUUUUUUUUCGACAACAGAGUCUUUUAAAAAAUUAAUGAAAAUUCUGAAUAUUCUUGAUGGUGAGAAAUAUUUUUAAAAAUUUUACCUAAAUUAAUGGAAAAUCUAUAAAUUAUUUCCAAUAUUUAACAUAAAAAUCCAUUGAGAUUCAAUACAGUAGGAUAAAUUUAAAAUAAUAUUGGUACCAUCAUUCGAAUGGACAUUGGGGUACUAAUAAUCUUUUUUCACAUGUAAUCGAACUUUCGAACCCUGUUCUAGUUUGUAGACCGAACAUAUUCUUUUAGGGACCCUUAGGCAAGCUUAGGAGCUCCUUAAAAUGAUAGAUUAUUAGGUGACCAAUCACACCUAGUUAAAAAAGAUUAGUGGUGACUUUAUUUGAUAAGUCUAGCUAUAGAUUUACGGAUCUAUAUGUUAUGACACUAUGUCCCUCCACCUCUAGGCAUAUUCUUGAAUGAUUCAGUCACCUUCUUUUUUCAUAUUCUACAAAGAUAGGCAAUCAGGGGCUAAGUCUAUCUAAUAUGGCAAUACUGACUAAUGAAAUCGUAGGCCAUAUUACUCCAAGACUGAAUACGCAUUUUAUCCAGCUGAACAUAUCAUUUAGCAGCAAAGCCUAUAAGAUUAUUUUGAAAAACAUGCAUUAAUAGCCUUUCAUUAUGAGAAUGAGUAGCCAUCUUUCGAUAGUAUAUGGUAAUGUGAAUUUUGGGCAUUUUGUACCAUCAUACUUGUUAAACUCCGAAACCUUAAUCACAUUCGGGACUAAAUAGAGCCCAACAGCAUCUACUAAACCAUAAAAACCCUUACCCUUUAUGGCUCAUAACCUUUCCUCUAAUAAGUUCAUUUUCUAUUCAGCUUUUAAAGUGUCAUUCUCUUUAAGCCUUAGUUUUUUUUUUGGAUUAUCCAAGUUAAGGAUUGGUAUUGGUUCUACUGCCUUUUUAGUAAAGACAAGAUUUACAUAAUUCUUGUACUAUCCAGGAUUUGAAGCUAAUGGCAUUUCAGGUAAGUAUAUCCUAUAGGAUAUGUGAACUGUUAUGGUGGUGGAUCUUAUGUGGACUGGGCUUAUUGUGACCCAAAACCAGGAGGGUACAAAAGGUCAUCCAUCUCUUGUGAUGGAUAAUCCUACUGGCUAGUAUUCCUUUUUUAUCUUUUUCCUUUGUUUAACUUAUUCAAGGCCUCCAAUAUCUUAUUCAACUCCCCUUUCAACUUUUCUUAAACUUUCUCUAUCCUCUCAAGACGAUUGAAAUUUUCUUAUUCCAUCUGUCUGGCUUGAGCUCUUGUAUUAUAUUAAUGAGUUAAUUGUGUGAGAUUCUUGGUUGGUGGAGCUAUCCUUGAACCUUGAGUACCAUAAUUAUGUAUUAUUAGAAAUGUUAUGCUUUAUGCAUGAUAUGUUGAUGCAUAAAUGAAAUGUACAUUUUCAUGGAUGAAAUCUAAUAUAAAAAUGAUACAGAUACACAAUGUUACAUAUAACAAUGAAAAUGAUGCAUGACAUGAUAAUGCAAAAUGCACAAAAUCAAACAAACAAAAUGGUUAGAUCAUAAACCAUUCCUUCUUGUGUCCUAACUUCGAGUUACAUUUAUCAAUAGGUACGGAGGGCUUUAUCUUGAGGCUGGCCUCUUAAGUAUACACUAUAUGCAAGGUUAGGUGAUUUUGACCACUAACAGUUCCCAAAUUGUUCCUUACAUCCUUAUCUAUCGCAGCCUAGUAAGGCAUUUCAAUCCUUACCCAUCACAAGCUACCAAUGAAAAAGAUUCAAUUUGAGUGAAAAUAUUUCACUAGCCAUUCGAAGAUUAUCAUCUCAUAAGAGCGUAUAGGUAUUUUAAUCCCUCCUAAAAAGGACAGAGCCUAGGCAUAGAUCUCAUUUAAUGAGAACACAUGUGAUAAUGUGUGUAAAGGAACACAUAAUUGUCAACCCGAUAAAUCAAAUGAGAAACAAAAAAGGUAAAUGUUAGUAAACAAAUAAUUACAAUUUAAAACCAUUAAAUCAGAUGAUAGGAUAUAUUUGAAAUAUUAUGGCCUGACUCUCUAUAGCUUCCCCAAUAGAGUCACCAAAUUGUCAUAACAUAUAGAUAUGAAAAUCUAUAGCUAGACUUAACAAAUAAAGUUGCCAUCAAUAUUUUUUUACCAGGUGUGAUUGGCCACCUAAAGAAUCUAUCCUUUUAAGGAGCUCCUAAGCUUGACUAAGAGUCCCUAACAGAAUAGGUUCGAGUAUACAAACCAAAACAAGAUUUAAGAGUUUAAUUAUAUAUAGGAAAUGUUAUAGCACCCCCACAUGCCCAUAAAAAAUAUGGUACCAUUUUAUUUUAAAUUUCUCCUAAGGUUUUGAUUCUAAUGGUUUUAAGUUUUAAUGUUUAAAUAUUAGAAAUAAUUUUUAAGAUCUUCCAUCAAUCUGGUAGAAUUUUUAAAAAUAUUUUCUCAUUUCAAGAAUAUUCAAGAAUCCCAUUUGUUUUCUUGAAGAGGCUCCGUCGUUUGAAAAAUAGGUUUAACCAUUUUUAUUUAUUGAAAAUAUUUCUAAUUCAUCCAUCAUUUGGGCCAAAACCAAAAAUAUUUUCUCUUUUUAAAUUUUUAAAUUCUCCAUCAUUUAGGCUUAUUUAGAAAUUCUUUUUUAUUUCUCUUUUUUUUAGAAAGAAAAUAAUAUAACAAUUAUUUUUCUUGAAAUUUCAUUUAAAUUUUUCUACCAUUUGGGACAAAUUUAAAGAAAUUUCUCACCUAGAGAUUUCUUUGGAAUUUAUCAUUUGAAAUUCCUAAGAUUCUUAUCAUUGGAUAAUUAUCAAAUAUUUUCAACUAAAAUUUUUAUUUGGAAAAUAAUACAAUUACUUUUAUUGAAAUUUCAUCUAAAUUAUUUCAACAUUUAGGAUAAAUUUAGAAAAAUUUCUCACCUAAAGAUUUUUUUAGGAAUUCACUGUUUGAAAUUUCUAAGAAUCUCAUACUUUGAUAAUUUGUAUUUAAUUCCAAAAUUUUAUAUUUUAUAUUUUAUUAUUAUUUUUUGUUUGAAAAUAAAUAUUAAUUAUUGUUAUUGAAAUUUUAUCUAAAUUAUUUGAACAUUUGAGAUAAAUUUAGACAAAACUCCUCACCUAGGAAUUUUAUAGAAAUUUACCAUUUGAAAUUUUAAAAAUCUCAUCAUUGGAUAAUUAUUAUUUAUUCUCAAAAAAAUAUUUAUUUUGUUUUAUAUAUUUUUUAAUUUUUUCAAAAUUUAAUCAUUAAUAAAUUUAAUAAAAAAUUUUAAAAUAAAUAAAUAAAAUAACUAAAAAAAUACCAAAAACGAAAAUGACUCGGCUCAAGAGCUUUAGCACAGCUCGAUUUCAAAUACAGAAUUUGACUCCAGGGAUGUAGCUUGGAAGCUCGGCUCGACUGAAGGGAUUGGCUAGAACAUGAGUCGGUAGGAGCAGGUUGCGCUUGGUCGAGUCACUCGAAUAAAAACACGCAGAUCCUGGGGAUCGUUUAAGGUGAAAACGACAUCAUUUUAGGAUCGGUAUAAAAGGUCAAAUUCUUUUUUUUCCUCAGAUUUCUCUUUUCCCCUCUCUCUUCUUCUUUUUCUCUGUUUCUCUCUCUAUCCCUGAAGAAGUCCAGUUGAAUCUUCAUCAGAUUCUAAAAAAUGUCAUCGAAAUCUAGGUUAGUUCAUCGAAAGUUCAUUAAAAAAUUUAACCAGUGUUAGAAUAUUUGACCGAAUUCUGGAAAGUUUGUCAAAAAAUUCAACCGAUGCUAAAAAAUUCAAUCAAAAACUAAAAAUUUUCUAGAAAAUUUUUUUUUAAUCUAAAAAUCUUCCAACUAAGUUUUUACUACUUUUGUGUAUUUUUUUUACCUUUGUGUAUUUUUUUGAAUCUUUAUGAUCAGUGUUUUUAUGAUAUGUCCUUGUGUGUUUCUAUGUUGAGGUAUUUAUAGGGCAAAUCAAAAGGAUUUUUGAUUGACUAUAACUCUCUCAUUGAUAAGAUUUCUACAUUAUCACAAGGGAAACUAAAACCAAUCACGAUUCUACCAACACCUAUCCAUGGUAGAAUCUGUCUUAUCCCUUUUUUUACUAUUAUCUAAUCAUUUUACAUUUAAUUUAAUAAUACAAAAAAAUUGAAGAUAAAUCAAAUAAAAAAACCAACCAAAAACUAGAGAUAAACAUAAUCAAAAUAAAAAUAAUAAAUAAAUAAAUAAACAAAUAAUAAAUUAAAAAUGAAAAACAAAUAAAAAAAUAAAAUAACAUAAAAUAACAUACUUGGGCCUAAAUAUUUAGACCUUAUUGAACCAGGCCCGAUAGGUUUGGGCCCGGACCAAUUAGGGUAUUUACACAUGACACAAUGAUAAUUGAUGCAAAAGAAUGUCAUGGAAUACAAAGAUGCUUAAGACAAUUGAUUCUCGUAUGUAUAAAGCUCAAAUGAUAAAAAUCACAUCACCUGUAAAUGUAUAUAUAGAAAAUGUAUUGUCUUGGUGAAUGGUGUUUACAUGAAAUGCAAUUUGUACAAUAAAUAUUUUAUCAGAAUCAUAUCAUUUAUGAAUGUAUAUGCAUAAAAUGCCAUGACACACUACAUGUGUAAUUAGAUGUAUGUAUAUAACUAGUGCAACAUACUUAUACAAAAUGCACUUAUAUAUUAUAUGCAUGACAAAAUAUGUUUACCUAAAAUGCAAUGCUUGUACUGUGCAAAUUUAAUGACAUUAAUACUACCAUUUAAAUGUGCAUAUAAUGAAAUGUAUGUAUAACCUUAUUAUUUUUAAAUAUGAAACAUGAUGAAAAUGAAUGAAAAAAAGAUCAAACGAAAUGCAAAGUGUGAAAUAACAUUCAAAAUAAAAAAUUUCCUUUUUUUCCAUUUUUUAUAAAAAGAAAUAAGAAUUUAAGAAAAUAUAUCCUAUAGAAAAAAAAGCAUAUAAAAUGACUAAGAUUUAAAGAUUUUUUUUCCCAUUUCUAUUUUUUAUUAAGAAAAAUCUUUUUCUUUUGAAAAAUUUUGCUUUUGUUUGUUGAAAAAUACAAAGAGAAUCCUUUUUCUUUUUAAAAGUAUGUUUUAAAGAUGCCAAUUUUGGACAAACAGUAGACAAAUUGAACUACAUGUCAAAAAAAAUUUCUUGAAAGAAUAUUUUUGUUUUUUUUUAUUUUUUCUCAAAAUUUUGGUUUUAUUUGUAUUAUUAUUACCUCUUAAAUACAAAUUGUACCAAAAUGUUUCUCAUGUGUCCUAAUUCGGUAAUUCAUACAAAAAGAUCUGUAUGGCUUUCCUAUCAUUGGUCCCCUGAGGUUUACUAUAUGCUGGGUCGAGAUUUAUACAUUUAAAGGUUCAUAAACUACUUUUUAUAUCAUCGUCCAUUAUAAACAAGUAAGGGACUCAACCUUCACCCAUUACAAGCUUUAAAUGGAAAUUGUUUAAUUUGAGUAGAAAUAUUUUACUAGCCAUUAUGAAGGUAUUUAUCUCACAAGAGCGUAUAUACUUCACUCCCCUUUAAAAGGGUAAAAGUUUGGGUAUAAAGCUCAUGUAUGCAAUGCACAUGUGAUCGUGUGAGAAGGAACAUGCCAACACUUUAUAACAUUAAAAUCCCUAUGCUAAAUGCCUAAACAUUUAUUAAGAAUAAUAUAUAAAAAAUAAUAAAAAAUAAAAUAAAUGAAACAAUCAAAAUACGAAUGCAAUGCAAAAUAUUUUUUAAGAAAAUCAAAAUUAAAGAAACCAAAGUUAAAUGACCAUUAAAUCAAACUUAAGAUAACAUAUAAUCAAUUUCUAACUCUCUAAAAAUAAUAACGUCUCUAUCAAAGUUGCCAAACUAUCAUAACGAUGUUUGAGACCACUAAAUGAAAUUUUUUUUAAAGUUCAAAACAAAGGGAAUCACUACAAAUCUUUUUUGGUUAGGUAUAAUUGGCUAUAUAAAAAACUUAUCUUUCUAAUAAAAUUUUUAAAUUAAUUAAAACUUAUUGAAAAGAUAAUUUUUUGUUUGGUUUGUUAAAAAAAAUUUUGGUUUAAGAGUUUAGUUAUGGGUGAGAAAGGAUUAACACCCAUGCAGUAUCUAUUUUAAAAAUGAUACCUAUUAAUCCCAUGUUAUCCUUUUGUUUUGAUAAAAGUGAUCUUAAUAUUAAUAUUUAAAAUAAUCCUUUUAUUUUUUUAUAUUUUACAAAAAUCAUUUUAAAACCUUUUAUUUAGGAAUAAAGAAAAGAAGACAGUGAUUUGGAUCAUAAAGAAAGAAACAUCCACGAGAAAAAUGGGAUGGAUUAUGUAUAUUUUAUUUAUUUAUUUAUUUUUGUAUUGAUGUUGUUUUGGGGUGUCAGUAAGAUAAGUGGUGACUUGGAGGUUGCGUGAGGAAUGACUUGAACCUGCAACAAGAAAAUAUGGUCAGGGGAUAUCAGAGUUGGAUUUUUAAGAUGUGUUUUGAUGCUUAAGUCAGUCAAGUGUUUAGGAUUUUUAUGAGGAAGAAGGUAUGCUAUCAAGAGUACUGAAGAAGCUUAAGGGAGAUGGGUUUGUUAGUUCUUAUCGUACCUAAGUCUAUUUUUUACCUUAUAUAUGAGAGGAAAGGGUGUGAAUUGACCAGCUUAGUGCACUAAAUACCAAUGCAAGAAAUCUUCUUGAAGCACCAAAGUGCACUAAACCCGCACCUUCAUAUCUAUUGUACUCAAAAUUUUAUUUUUAUAUCCUUUAAAACAGUUUUUAAAAACGUCUAUUAAUGAAGUUUUAGCAGCAACUCUUUCUGCUCCAAUCCAAAAUGCUGAACUGCCUGUACUUAAUUGUCGGUCGAUAGGUUUUCAUCCAGCAUCUGGGGUGACCAUUUUCUCUCAUAUGCCUCAAACAUUAUGGUAAUUUCAAUAAUGGAUUAAUCUUUGUAUAUACAGUUUAAUUACAUUCCAUAUAUAAAAGUACUUAAUUUUCAUUGUUUUCUCAUAUAGGAGGAAGAUCAUGAUAAGAAGGAAGAGCAUCAGAAGCUGAAGAAUGAAUUACAGAAGAUGCUAAUGACUGAUCAGGUUGAUAAACCUUUGGAAAUGCUUAAGUUGAUUGAUGCAAUCCAAGGCCUUGGAGUUUGUUAUCAUUUUGAAAAAGAGAUUAACCAAGUACCGCAUUUCGCCUACAAUGAUUGUGAUAUUGGGGUCAAUGAUGAGAACCUUUAUACCAUUUCUCUCAAAUUUCGUCUGCUUCGACAAAAUGGCUAUGGGAUGUCAUGUGGUAUGAAACUGAUCUUAAUACUUGCUUUUCUAUAUUUAUGGACAGAACUUGACAAUAUUUGUGAGCCAAUUUAAUUUAGGCUUAUUUUCAAGUUUGUGUGGUUAUAAAAAUAGAAAAGAGUUUUGAAAACUUACUAAUUUCAAAUACAAUAACCUUUCCAAUUUUAUAUAAUCAAGUGCUCCUAUCCCUUGCACCUGAUCUUGAUGAUUUUCCUGAAGCAGUUUGAGCAAAAGAGAGGACAUGUGGCUUCAGCCAUUGAAUGUUACAUGAAACAGCAUGAUGCAACAGAACUGGAAGCUGUCAAGGAAUUUCGUGAACAAAUUACUAAAGCUUGGAAAGAUAUAAAUGAAGAAUGUCUCCAUCCAACCAUUGUCUCCAUCUCACUCCUCACUCGGAUUCUAAAUCUUUCUCGUGUAAUCGAUGUUGUUUACAAGACUAAAGAUGGUUAUACUCAUACUGGAGUGAUCCUUAAAGACUUUGUACCCUCUUUGCUUAUUAAUCAUGCUCCUCCUUUAUGAGCAUUUUGUCAUUCUAGUACUUCAAUCACAAAUAUAGACCAAGUGCUGUUAAAUAAAUCUCUUCAAAAAUAAAAUUUCCAGUAUUAUCGAUAAUUUUCAAUAACAUAAUUAUACUGCCUAUAAAUGUUCAUAUUCUAUAAAACAAAUCAUGUAAUAUUCAUUUUUCCAUAUUUAGAUGAACUUUGUAAUUAUUUUUGUAGUGUUUGAAAUGGGGAAUUAAUCCUUUAAUUAGUAUUAACAAAAGCAUUGAGGAAUAAUUUUGCAGAUUUUUUUUGUCAUAUUACUUUCAACUUUUGAUAUUUAAGGAAUCCUACUAUUUUUUGGUCUCGAUUUUUUUGGACAAAAUCUGAUCCCCUACAUUUGUAAAAUUUUCUUUCCUAACUCCUCUUAGAUCUUAAUUUCCUGUGUAUAAAAAUAAAAAUAAAGUUAUCACAAAUAUUUAGGUUAGAAGAGUAUACUCGGCCAUUGGACUUUUAUUAAGUUUCAUCAACUACACACCCAAGGCUGUUGCUGCUAGCCCAGCCCAUUUUGUAACAAAGCAUGUCUUUUGCCAUAACCUAUCAUGUCAUUGGGAAGUUUUAUUUACAUCUAAUUUAUUAUUUUAUAUAUUUUAUUUUUAAAUACAUCUCAAUUUUAAAAUUUAAUUUUUUUAUUUUUACUAAAUAUAUUUCAUCUCUAAUUUUUUAUUUUUUAUUGUUAUCAUUUUUCUUUUCUUUUCUCUUCAUAUUUUGAAAUCGAACUUUUUGAAAAUAAAUAUAUGAAAAGUUUUGAAGAUUUUCGAAAAUAAAUAUAUAUUUUUUAGAUUUAUAAAAAAAAUUUUUAAGAUAUCUAAGCUAUUGAAAGUAUUUUUAUCAUUUAUUAAAAAAUUAAAAUUAAUAUUUUACUAUUUGAGUAUUUAAAAAAAAUUAUAGUAUAUUUAGGAGCCCCUGUCAUUUAUUUCUUUUUCUGAUCACAUGUCAAUUGCUUCAAAUAUUAAACUGAUUAUUAUGCGCCAAUGAAAGUCUGUUUCUAAUGACAAAGCAGAGACCUUAGAAUCUUUAAAUGUCAAAAUCAAAACACUGUGUACUCAUGAUAUUAUUUAUUUUUUUUAUUGAUUUCUUCUUGAAUGUAAUAGUAGUAUUAUAUGCAUUAAUAAAUACUUCAUUUGAUUGUAAUUUUGCAUGUAUAUGUAAUUUCAUUAAAAAAAAAACAAAAAACAUUAACAUAUGCCUGGUAUGGAUGGUAAUUGUGUGAAUUCAAUUAAAAAAGUUUCCCGUAGUUGAUUUUAUAUCUUAGUAUUAUAUUUAAUAAUGAUUUUAUUCUUGAUUUUUUUCUUUAUAUAUGUAGACAUCCUAUUUCGUUCAGAGAUUUUUUCAAAUUCAUUAGGUUUCAAAUUUUAAUUUUGAUUAUGCAAUUGGGUUUUAAUUAAAAAAUAAAUUUUUGACCCAAAGAUUAAAUCUUAAAUUUUAUUUGUAUUUUAAUUUUUUUAGUUUAAUUUUUGGUUUUAUUUUUAUUUUUUUAGUCAAAAAGCCAAAGUCAAUUAGUAAAAAAAAAAAGGAGUAAAAAAAUAAAAAAAAUGUGAGAUUUUAUAUGAAAAAUUUUGGAUUCAAUUCAACUCUUGGAUUCUAUCUCAGAUUUUAACUUUAAUGGUUAAAUAAUUUUGAAAAGAUUUAGGACUCAAUCUAUUGAAAAAUGAAAGAUUACAUGAAGAAUAAAAAUUGAAAAAAAAUCUUAGAUUGGGUUGAAUUAAUUUCUUCCAAAUCGAAAGAGAUUCAAUUUGUAUAAAGAUCUUGAAUCUAUAAUCAAAAGGAGAGGCCUCAUAGCAAUUGACUUCAAGAUCAAACAAAGGUCAUUGAAAAGAGAAAAAAUUUGGGCAAAGUUUUGAAUUAACAAGGAAGAAGCAAUCAAGCAAAAAAUUUUGCAAUAAGAUCCAGUUGGAGUUUUUGGAAAGGAAGCUACGAUUUAUAGUAGGAAGUAUCAAUUUUUGAAAGGUGAAAGUUGGAACUCAUCGAGGUAAUAUUUGCUUUCAUUUUUCCUUUUUUUUGUGAUUUUUGCAUAAGUUUUAUAAUAUUUAAUUACUUACUCUUAUUUUUAUAUUUAUUGCAUGGUAUUUAUUUUUGCAUGAAUUUGCAUGACUAAUAUUAUAUUUGCAUGAUAAUUUAUGCUCCUAAUAUAUUUGUUUGCAUGAUUAAUAUAUUUCUUUGGGUGAUUUAUUAACAUAUUUGCAUGAUUAUUAAUAUAUUUAUUUAUAUGAUUAUAUUUAAUUUGAUUGCAUGGUUGUUAAUAUAUUUAAUUGCUUGAUUAUUAAUAUAUUUAUUUGCAUGAUUAUAUAUUUAAUUGUAUGUUUAUUAGCAUGAUUAUAUAUUUAAUUGAAUAUUUUGCAUGGUUUAUAUAUUAUUAUUUACAUGAUUGCAUGAUUAUAUAUUUAAUUGCAUGUUUAUUUGCAUGAUUAUAUUUAAUUGCAUAAUUACUAAUAUAUUUGUGUGAUUAUAUUUGAUUUCAUAAUUAUAUAAAUGCAUGAAUGGCUAUUAAUAUAUUUGCAUAGUAUUUUAUAUUAUGGCAUGAUAAUUAAUAUAUUUUUGCAUGACAUUCUUGCAUGAAUAUUUUAGCAUGACCUAGCAUGAUAUUAUUACAUGAUAUUUGGUAUAAUUUAUAGUAUUAUAUUUGCAUGACAAUUUUUGCAUGGUAUGAUUUAAUAUUUAUUGCAUUAUUGCAUGAUUGCUUGAUAUUUUGAUAGAAUUUUUGUAUCACCAUUUUUGUAAAUAAAUAAAAGGAUUGGAAUUGAUUUAUUUGCAUGAUAAAACUAUCUUUGAUAAGGUUUAGGUAAGAUAACACAUAAUUAACUUGGGACUAGCUUUAGGCGUAAAGGGGUACUAAUACUUUCCCUGCACGUAAUCAACUCUUAAACCUUAGUUCUGUUGAUGUAGACCAAAAUCUAUUCUUUUUUAGGAAUCCGCAACUUAGGCUUAUGAUAACCAUAAAAAGGAUAAAUCCAUAUAGGUGGCUGAUCACAACUAGCUGAAAAAGAUUGAUGGUGAUUCAAUGAUUUUUAUGUCUAAUGGGUAGGUUUUCUCAACCUAUACGUUAUGACAGUUUGGCGACUCCAUUGGGGACAUUAGAGAUUCAAGCCAUUAGUUAGUUAUGUGUUAUAUUAAGCCUGACUUUGAUAGUUUUUAUUAUGUAAUUAUUUAUGAUUUUUAUGUAUACUAACCUAUUUGUUUAUGAUUUCUUAUUUGUUUGUUUUGCAAAUAUUAUUUUUUAUUCACACCUAUCUAUUUGAUUACUUAGCAUGUCCCUUUAUACAUAUCAUACUUGCAUUCAUGCAUAAGCUUUAUACCUAGGCUUUAUCUUUUAUUAAGAGGGAGUAAGCACCUGCACUCUCUUGAGGUGAUAACUUUUGUGUAAGCUAGCAAGAACUCCCAUUCAAAUUGAACCCUUUUCAUUGGAGCCUAUAUUGGUGGUCAAGGAUUUGGGUGCCUUACUAGUCUAUAAUAGAUGACAAUGUGGGGAACAGUUUAGAAGCCUUUAGAUUGUCAAGCCUUUAAACCUAGUUUGUACAUAAACCCUAAAGAUUCAAACCUAGGCUAAAGCCCUUCUCUCCCUUUAAUUGGAGAAAAAAAAACCCUAAAUAGGACACUUAAUGGGACAAUUAUUAUUCUUGUAAAUUUAUGUUAUUCCUUGUAUAUAUUUUUGCAUACUAACCUUUAUAAGUUGUUAUUCUUUGUAUAUAUUAUAAUAUGAUUACUAACCUUUUUUUCUCUUUCUACUUUAUUGUGCAUGCAUGCAUUAUUGAGAUUUAUAGAAAGAGUAAUUGCUACAUAAUAAUCUUAACAAAAAAAAAUCUUAAUUACAUUUAUAGAGAGCCUAUCAAAGUUCCCUAUGUGCCUGAGAAUGAAGUUCGAGGAAGCUCAGCUUAAAGGAGAUGAUUUUUGGUCAGUCAAUUAUGUAACUACUCUGCUCGUUAAAAUCCAUCUCAAUCUCAAAUGAAAUUAUUUUAGCGAUUUGGUUGAUAUUUAAACCAAUAGAGUGUCACUAUUAAAAAGACUUUCUAAAAGAAGUUUGGGAACCUUGCAUUGCUUCUUUCAGUCCCUAUUGAUGAUCAACUUAUUAGGGCCAUGGUUUAGUUUUGAGACCCUUCAUAUCAUUGCUUUGUGUUCACUGAGGUUGACAUGGUGCCAAUGAUUGAAGAAUAUUUAACUCUUCUUCGCGUGAAUCUCCCUAAUCCUACUAAGGUAUAUUGGAAAAAUAAAAAGAUUGAUUAUUGAAAAAGCUUGCUCAAAUGAUGUCAUAGAUAUCCAAACUGUUGAUAAUUAGGUAAAGGGAAAAAGUGAAAGUGUUGGUAUUCCUUAGUCCAUUUUUCGUGACUUUAUAUACAAAUAUUUUGACACUGAAACAGGAAUGGAGUUGAUGGCAUUGGCUCUAAAUAAGAUGAUGGUAUUUUCAAAAGUAAUUGACUAUAUUGAUGUUGCAAUGGUAGAUUUCUUUGAUCAACUUGGUUACAAAAUCAACCUUAUUCCUAUAAUUUUGGCUGAGACUAUUAGAUCUUUAAAUCAUUGUCAUCAAAAUGGAUAAGGGUGUUUUACUGAAUGCAUUUAAUUGUUAACCAUUUGGAUGAAAAGUCAUAUAAAAAAUAAUGGUGAUAAAUUUUGCAAGCCAUAUUUCACUAUAAGCAAAACCCAUUAAAGAAUUUUAUGAAAAUGAAUGGCCUACACCAAAAUCCAAGGAAACAUGGAUCUUAUUUCUACGUAAGCUCACUAGCCAAGAUGUGAUAUGGAGAGCUCUUUGGAUGCCUUAUUGACCAAUGUUAUAUGGUUGUGAAGAUAAGCUUUGAGUUUCUCUCUUAGGCUUUUGGGGUGCAGUGAGUUAUUCCCCCUUCAUGGUGCAAAGACAAUAUAGUUAUGAAUAGUCUAUCCUAGCCAUUUUCAGACUUAAUAAAAUGGAGUUCUCAUAUGUUGAAACUGAUGCUUCUAUAAAGAUAACCAAAAUCCUAAAAGCUUAGAAUUUGCCUCAAAGAGACGAUAGAAGGAGACGUUCAAAUGAGGUUACCCCUAAAUAUUUUAUAUGGCACAUUAGGUGAGCUAAAGACAUCAAAAUCCUUGAAGAAGUAACUCUAAAUGGCCUAAUGAAAUCACCACUUCUUGAGCUUUUAUUGGUAGUGGAAAUUGGUAAAAGAAAGCUCUAAGUUGAAAAGGAUGAAUUGCAGUUUAAAAAUAAAAGGCAAAAAAGGGAGUUAAAGGGAAAAAUGUACAAAAAGGUUCAAUUCAAAUAAGAAAGGGAUGAAUGGAAGAAUCUUUUUUCUAUCUCAACAUACAUAGUCAUCCACCAAUCAUUAGUUAGCCUAACUUUUGAAAGAAAAUGGACACUUAUAAGCAAAGAUGCAAAGAAAAGAUAAAGCAUUUAAGAAGCAUAAAAGCACAUCCAAAUGCUCAAUGGGUGGUUGGUCAAAAUUAGAAUACAAAUGAGUGUUGUGAAUGAAGAAUGUGAAUAAGCCUAGGGAAGUAUAUAUGAGAAAGCAUAACCAAUUAGAAUGCUUACUUGACCAAAUCACUAUAGCUAUCUAUAAAUCCAAGGACAUGGUAAAAAAAGUUGAAGAAUGUAAGAUAAAGGUACCACUAGUGGGUACACAUACUGCUAGCUUUCCUUAAUGAAGUACAAGACCAAUAUUGACAAAUUAGGGAUUUUUUUUCCACAAUAAACUUUAGACUUUUUAUGGAUAUUCAAUAAAGAUUUUUUUUGUUAACAAUUAUUAUGUAAUAAAUUCUCUUUAUUGCAUCAUACAUAAACAUCUUUCCAAAGUGCACGAUAAUAAGUUAUCCUAAUUCUUAAAAAUUAUGAAAAAUCAAAGUUCAAGAAUAGCUCAAUCUUCAAACAAUUUGAGGCAUUAAAAUACUAGAUAUCAAGCAAGAAUCAUGGAAGAAAACAUUUUUCACCUCCAAAAGUUAGAGAAAACAUAAGAAGAACUGAAAGAGUAGUUGGAAACUAUUACCAAAUUAUUGAAAAACAUGAGUAAAGGAAAGAAAAUGGUGGAAGAAGUGAUGAUACAAAAUGAGAUUGAUUUACUCUACCCUCAUGGCUUUGACCCAUAUUCAGCACUUGCAUCUCAAAAGGCUCAGCACUAAAUGACAUUCACUGCAAGUUAUCCUUAUGUGCAAAUUGACAUGCCAACAACUACUGUUUAUGUUCUCGUUUCCUCUAUUCUUGAUAUCAAAACAUUUGAUCCUACACAAGUUUUAAAUCUUGAUCAUAUCAAAGAACAAGAAAAGUUAAAGAUAGGCUCUAUUAAAACUAAAGAAAGCUCUAGUUCUCGAAAGAUAGAUUCAUAGAAGAGAGACUUAAAGCCAUUGAAGGAACAGAUUUUUAUGGGUCAAUAGAUGCUAUUGGAUUAUGCCUGGUUCUUGAUGUCAUGAUUCCACCAAAGUUUAAAGUGCCCAAGUUCGAAAAGUAUGAUAGGACCAAAUACCCUAUCACAUAUAUUACAAUAUAUUGUCAUAAGAUAGCUGUAUACAUUCAUAAUAAAAAGUUCCUCAUCUAUGUUUUUCAAGACAAUCUUACUAGUUCAACUACUAGGUGGUAUGUGAAACUAGAUAGAUUUCACAUUCAUAAAUGAAAAGAACUUGCAAGAGCUUUCAUUGCACAAUACAACCACAUUAUAGAUUUGGCACCAGAUCACAUAUUUUUACAAAGCAUGCAAAAGAAAGAUAUUGAAAGUUUUAAAGAAUAUGCCCAGAGAUUGAGGGAUAUUGCUACCUAAGUUCAACCACUACUCAUUGAAAAGAAGAUCACAAUCUUAUUUGUCAAUACUCUCAAAACUCCUUACUAUGAAAGGAUAAUUGGAAAUACCACUAAAAAUUUUAAUGAUAUAGUAAUUCCUAGAGAGAUCAUCGAAAAUGCCAUUAAGAAUAAAAAGUUUAAAGUGGGUGAUACAAGAAAAGGGUUUGUACUAAAAAAGAAAGAGGGUAGAUGGCUCAAGCUAUAAUUCAUGAAGAGUAACAAGUGAGGAGGCUUCACCUCAUAUUCUUUUUACCUGAUGUACCCAAUCAUCAAUAAUAUUUCGCAAGUCCCUUUGUUCAUCAACCCUAUAUAGUCACCCAACUCCUUGGUCAAUUGCUCGACCCUAAGAUCGGGUGAAAAGAGAAAAGCUCUAUAGUUCAAUUCCUAUGACAUACACUACGCUGCUCCCUCAACUCAUGAGAACUAUUUGUCACACCAAUUUAUUUGAAACUUUAAAGCCUCUUUAUCUCAAGUGGUAUGAUUACUAAUGCUACUUGUGACUAUCAUCCUAGGAUUAUUGAUCAUUUAUAAAAAAUUACACAACAUUGAAGUAUAAAAUACAAAGUUUGGUAAAAUGAAUUGGUGAAUUUUGAUCAAGAAACAGGACAUGUGUCAUUAAUGACCUUUAACCACACUAGGGGAUAAUUUUGAAUGAGUUUUUAUAAAUGUUUGUUACCUUAUAAACUUUAAGAAAUAAUGUAUGUUUGGAACAUUCAAGUUUUUUAUGUUAAUCUUUUAUUUAUCUUUCAUCAUUUUAAUAAAAUAACGUAUGUAUUUUCAUUACAAUUUCCCAUUUGUUCCAUUGCUUUUAUAUACAUUUUUUUCACAUUUAACCCACUCCUAUGUUUUAAAUAAUGAAUGUUUAAACAAUUAUGACAAUAAUUCAUGAUUUAAUUUUGAAAGUAUCAUUUAGAUUAAUGAAAUUGAUAAGUUAAGACUCUUAAUCUAUUGGGAUUAUUGAAGUUAAAGAGGACAUGUUUCAUGAAAUGAAACUAGUAUGAGAUUUCACUCAUUCAUAGAGAGAAGUGAGGUAGUGUAUAAUUUUUUUUUUUUAUGAUGGUUCGCUCACAAGUUUGCUCUUAGUUAAUAAAUAUUUUUUAUUGAAAAUAUUCAUAUUUGAAAUGAAAAAUGGCUAUCUUUCUUCUACCCUUUACAAAAAUAGUAAAAUUAUCAAUUUACUAUCCCAUUUAAACCUAUUGAAUUUUUUUUGAAAGAAACUCUAACCAAGGAUCAUCCUCUACAUUAAAGGUAAAGUUUGAAAAAUGCUUGAUCAUAAAGAGAAAAACAAAGAAAAAAUAAAAGUAAAGGUCCCUAAUGACUUUAAGGGCAAAAAAAAAAAAACCUCUUUGGUGCUCAGAUCCUUUCUUAAAAAAGGAUGAAAAGUGCAAAUCGAAAAAAUGUGAAACAAAGAAAGAAAAAGAAAAAAAAAGAGAAUUAAUGAAAAAUGGGGUAAAAAAUCAAGUUGCUCCAUAUUAUAAUAAAUUAUCCUUUGGUUUAUAACCUUUCGAAUUAAUUUUAAGCCUACUGUAUCCAUUUUUUUCAUAACCCAUUACCUUAGCCUACGUUACAUCAUUUAAAAGUCCAUUUUGAUUGAAUGUGAAUGCCUAAAGUGAAGAAUUAUGAAUUAGACUAAGACAAACUUGUAAUGGGAAUGUUGAGAAUUUGAUCAAAAUGUCACUAAUAGAUUAAGGGAAAAUGGAAAAUAAGAGAGAAAGGAUGUGAAAAAGUUGUGCAAAAAAAAGCAAAAAAGUAAAACAAAAAAAAAGAGAAAAAGAAAACAAAAUGAAGACUUAAUCUGAAAACCCGAAAGGAUGGUUUAAGUAACAAAAAGAAAACUUGAAAAAUAGCCUUGAUGGGGAUUCCCAAAAAAUAAGGAUAAUGCUUGAACUGAAGAAAGAUAAAAAAACAUCGAUAGAAUAAGCUUUUGAAAAAAAAUUGAAUUAAUUUGUCUAGAAUUAUUUGAAUAUUCAUUAUCUUAGAUUUUGCAUACCCUUCCCAGUAUUUAUCUUAAUGAUUCAUUCUGAAAUGAUUUUUUUACCUAUUUAUUCUUAUUAGACUUGUUCUUAUAAUGAAUACCUUUUUCUUUGAUUUUUCUUGUUCUUUACCAUUUAUUUCUUUCCUUGAUGAAUUAAAAAAAUGUGAUUGAUUACAUUUGGCAUUGAAUUGAAAUGAUGAUAAAUGAAUAAAUAACUGUUAUGAAAGAUCAUUGCAUUAUUUGAAAUGACUGAGGCAUAUUGAAAAUGAAAUGUGAAAGAUGAAAAAGUUUUAAAAUGAUGUUGAUCUUUAUGGCUUACAAAUGAAAAAAAAAAACAUUUCAAAUGUUGAGAUCAAAUGAUGAAGCUAAUAAAGAGGAAUUUUGGAUCACAAAUCAAUUGAUAGAUUUGUUGGCUAGCCAAUUCCAAAAGUGUUGAAGAAAAACAUGAUGAAAAGUUGAAAAGAAGAUAUGAAGAAGAGCCUUUAGAUACCAUUGAAAGAAAAAAACUUUGGAUUUGAACGAUAUAAUGGAUGAAACUACUUGACGAUGCAUGAUAGCUCAUGUUGAAAAUUAUAAGUGUUGAUGGGUUAAAAGAAGUAAGAAGAUAAAUUAAGAGUUUUAAAAACUUUUUGAUUUAUCACAAUUAAAAAGAUGAUUGAAUUACAUAGCAUACAUUGCAUUCACCACAUGCAUUAUAUGUAUGCAUCAUACUGAGAAUAUUGCAUUCAUACAUGGCAUUCAUCAUGCAUAUUUUAAAAAAAGAAAAAAAAAGUUUAAAGUUUGAAAUUGGGUUGGAAUUUUGCAUUCAUUGCAUUCAUGCAUUGUAUUCACUGCAUUUAAUAUAUAUUGCAUAUACCAUUAGAUUUAUUGCACUCAUGCAUUGCAUGUUUGGAGAAGAAAGAUCAAAGUUUAAGUUGUGAAAUUAGAAUUAAAUUUUGAAAAAUCUUUGGCUCAUGCAUUCAUUGUAUGCAUACAUUGAGUUCACCAUAUUCGUCCCAUGCCUCAUGCAUGUUUGAAAGGAAGAAAAAUUAAAGUUUGAAUCUUGAAAAUGAUUUUGAAAAUUAUGGAGAAUCUUUUCAUUCAUUGCAUGCAUUCGUUGCAUAUGUUUGAAAAGCAAGAAGGAAAAAUUAGAUGAGAAAAUAAUUUUGAGAAGAGACAUUGAAAGGCAAUCAAUGAUAAUUGAGAUGUAGAAACUCAAUUUAAGGUAAGAUUUUUUUAAGUUUCAAUACCUCUAUUGAGGAAGAACUUUUUUGAAGGUAAAAUAAUAUUAUUUAUUCAAAGUUCAAAGCCUCAGUUGUGAUGGACCAUUUAAUUUCAAAAGUCAAAGGCCUAUUUUUCAAAAAAUUUCAAAACCCUUAGUUGUAGAAAAGAUUUUACUUUUCCAAAAUUUAAAGCCUUCAGUUGUGGGGAGCAUUUUAUUUCAAAUUCAAGCCUCAAGUUGUGGCGAGAGUAUUUUAUUUUAAAAGCUUUUUCAAAUCCUCUAGUUGUUCGGAAUAUUUCAAAAGUUCAAAAGCCUCAGUUGAUGAGGGAACAUUUAUUUUCAAAGUUUCAAAAGCCUCGAAUUGUGGAGAGCAUUACUUUUUAAAGUUUUCAGCCUUAGUUGUGAUGAUAAAGCAAUUAUUUUUCAAAAAAAAGGGGAAAGCAUUUUUUUUUUCAAAAGUUUCAUAACCUUAAUUGUAAGGGAGCAUUUUAUUUUCAAAAGUUUCAAAGCCUCAGUUGUGGGGGAACAUUUUUUUUUUCAAAGUUUCAAAACCUCAAUUGUAGAGGAGUAUUUUAUUUUCAAAAGUCUCAAAGCCUCAGUUGUGGGGGAGCAUUUCUUUUUUAAAAAAAGCUUCAAACCUCUGAGGAGGAACCUUUGCAAUUUUCUUUUUUGAUUUUUCUUAACCCGAACAAAAUGGAUGUCUUUUAUCUUUAUAGAAUUCUUGUUCCACAAAAAAUGUACAAAGAAGAAUAACUGUAGAUACCCUAUUUUGUUCAGGGAUUUUUUGAAAUUUAUUGGCCUUCAAAUUUUAAUUUUGAUUGUGCAAUUGAGGCUUAAUUGAAAAAGUGAAUUUUGGACCCUAAGAUUAAGCCAUAAAUUUUAUUUGUGUUUUAAAUCUUUUUAGUUUUUUGUUUAAUUUUUGUUUUUUAGUCAAAAGAGUCAAAGUCAAUUGGUAAAAAAAAGGGUAAAAAAUAAAAUAUAUGGGAUUUUGCAUGGAAAAUCUUGGAUUCAAUUCAACUUUUGGAUUCUAUCUCAUAUUUAAACUUUUAUAGUUGAAUAAUUUCGAAAAGACUUAGAGCUCAAUCUAUUGAAAAAUGAAAUAUUACACAAAGAAUAAAAUUUGGAGAGAAAUCCUAGAUUCAAUUGAAGUAAUUUCCUUUUAAAUCGAAAGGGAUUUAAUCAUUUUAUAAGGACUUUGCAUCUGUGAUCAAAAAGGGAGUCCUCACAGUAAUUCAUUUCAAAAUCAAAUAGAGAUCAUUGAAAAGAGAGAAAAUUUGAGCAAAGUUUUCAAUCAACAAAGAAGAAGUAAUCAAGCAAAAAAAUUUGCAAUAUGAUCUGAUUGGAGUUUUUGGAAGGAAGGCUAAGAUUUAUUGUAGGAAGUAUCAAUUUUUGAAAGAUGAAAAAUUGUUGGAACUCAUUGAGGCAAUGUUUGCUUUCAUUCUUUUUUUUGUGAUUUUUGUAUAACUUUUAUAAUAUUUAAUUGCUUACUCUUAUUUUUUUUAUUUAUUGCAUGGUAUUUAUUUUUGCAUGAAUUUGCAUGAGUAAUAUUAUAUUUGCAUGAUAAUUUAUUUGCCUAAUAUAUUUGUUUACAUGAUUAAUAUAUUUAUUUGUGUGAUUUAUUAAUAUAUUUGUAUGAUUAUUCGUAUAUUUAUUUGAGUCAUUAUAUUUAAUUUGAUUGCAUGAUUAUUAAUAUAUUUAAUUGCUCGAUUAUUAAUAUAUUUAUUUGCACGAUUAUACAUUUAAUUGCAUGACUAUGUUUGAUUGUAUAAUUACUAAUAUAUUUGUGUGAUUAUAUUUGAUUUCAUGAUUAUAUAUAUGCAUGAAUGGUUGUUAAUAUAUUUGCAUGGUAUUUUAUAUUAUUGCAUGAUAAUUAAUAUAUUUGCAUGAUAUAUAUAUUUACAUGAUUAUUAUUCUUACAUGAUAAUUAAUAUAUUUGCAUGAUAUUAUUGCAUGAAUAUUUUAGCAUGAUCUAGGCAUGAUAUUAUUGCAUGAUAUUUGGUAUGAUUUAUAGUAUUAUAUUUGCAUGAUAAUUUUACAUGGUAUGAUUUAAUAUUUAUUGCAUUAUUGUAUGAUUGUUUGAUAUUUUGAUAGAAUUUUUGUAUCACCAUGUUUUGUAAAUAAAUAAAAGAAUUGAAAUUAAUUUAUUUGCAUGAUAAAAUUAUCUUUGAUAAGGCUUAGGUAAGAUAACACAUAAUUAACUUGAUAUUAAUUUUGACUAGAUGCUACUACUUUUUCUAUAUGUAACCAAUUUUCAAACUUUCAUUCUGUUGAUAUAGAUCAGAAUCUAUUUUUUUUAGAGACCCUCAGCUUAAGCUUAGGAUAAUUAUAAAAAAGAUAGACUCACAUAAGUGACCAAUCACACUUAACUAAAAAAAGUUAAUAACAACUUCAUAAUUUUUAUAUUUAAUGUCUAAAUUUUCUUAACUUAAAUGUUAUGACAAUACAUAUCCUUUUUAUUCCCUUCGAGGCGUUAAAUUUUUUGGUGGGUUAAGUAAUUGCAAAUGUUAGUAUUAGCAUUACUAGAGUGUCUUUUUUUUUUUUUUAAUUUUUAUGGCCACCUGAUUUCCACAUACGGUGGUUUGAUGAUUGAAAUUUGAAAGUUCAAUUAUUAGUUAGAAUUGUUCUGAAAAGAUUUCCAAGAAUAUGGGGUUUUAAAAUGUGUAGAAGCUAGGUUCUUAACUUUUUGCUUUCUCUUAUUUGUACCACAAAAGCCAAGAAAAGAUGUCAUUCUUUUCUUUUUCGGGUCACAUAUCAAUUGUUUCAAACAUUAAACUAAUUAUUAUGCGCUAAUAAAAGUCUGUUUCUAAUAACAAAGUAGAGGCCUCAGAAUUUUUAAAUGUCAAAAUCAAAUCAUUGUAUACUGAUGACAUAUUUAAUUUGUUUAUUGAUUUCAUCUUGAAUGUAAUAGUAGUAUUAUAUCUAUUAAGAAAUACCUCAUUUCAUUGUAAUUUUUGCAUGUAUAUGUAAUUUCAUGAAAAAAAAAAAAACAUAUGCUGGUAUGGUAAAAUUUUGUGAAGAAAAAUGCAUCUUAUUCUUCAUUUUUAUAUUUAAAAUAUUUUUUGGGUCAAAAGGUUUUAAAUAAUUCUUUUAUAAAAAUUAAAUAAGAUUAUUUAUGAUAUUUUUAGUAAAAAUAUCAUAAAUAAUCUUAUUUAAUUUUUUAUAAAAAAUUAUUCAAAGUACUUCUGAUCAAAAUAUUUUAAAUAAUCUAAAAAAAAUGACAGUUUAUUAUUCAAGGUGUUUUUUAUUUAAUUUGAUAAAAAAAUAGUUGUAAAAGAUCUCGAUCUUGAGUUUGAGUAUAAAUAAUCAAGUUUUUAUUAAGUAAGAAUCGAAUUUAUUUUUAUAUAUAAAUCAAACCUAAUCGAACGAGCUUGAAUAGCUCAAUUUCUAUCACGAAUUGAGCUCGAACUAAAAAAAUAAAAUUCGAUCAAGUUUGAGUCGAGUAUCAAGUCGUGAGUUAAGAGUUGAGCUUGAGCUCGAGCUUUUCACUGUAUCAUCUCAAUUCAGUUCACUUACACCUCUAGUCACAAAUAAAAAUUUAAAUUGAUGAUAAAAUUAUAACAUCGCAUAAGAAAAAAAAUGUCAUAAAAAAUUUUCCAUCAAAUAAAUUUGGCAGUAAAAGUUUAUGACAUUUAUGCUAUCAUCAUAUAAUACCAUAAAUUGACGUAACAAAAUUGUAAUAUUAUUAAUAGUUAACUAAAGUAUUCAAUCUGAGAUAAAAAUUAAUAACGUCACCUAAAAUCUAUUAGAAAAUAUUCGUCAUAAAUAAAAUUUUAAAUUAGUGAUAUAUUUAUAACAUCACUUAAAAUAAAAUAAUGUCGCAAAAAAUUUUUUCACUAAAUAAAUUUGAUAGUAAAAGUUUGUGAUAUAAUACCAUAAAAUAAAAGUGACAAAAUUGCAAUGUUAUAAUAGUUAACUAAAGUGUUACAUUUAUGACAAAAAUUGAUAAUGUCACCUAAAAUCUAUUAGAAAAAAUCGUCACAGAUAAAAUUUUAAAUUAGUAACAAAAUUUAAAUGCCACAUUAAGUAAAAAAAUGUCAUAAAAAAAUUUUUCAUCAAAUUUAAGUUUGUAACAUUCAUAUUAUCGUCAUAUAACACUAUACAUUAAUGUGACAAAUUACAAUGUCAUUAAUAGUUAACAAAAGUAUAUAAUUUGUGUCAAAAAUUAAUAAUGUCACCUAAAAUAUAUUAAAAAAAUUUAUCAUAUAUAAAAUUUUAAAUUGGUGAUGAAAUUAUAACUUCACCUAAAAUAAAAAAAACAUCACAAGAAUAUUUUUCAUCAAAUAAAUUUAGCAAUAAAAUUUAACGGUAAGAUUUUGAUGAUAUUAUCAUGUGACGAUUUUAUAUAUUAUCAUAUAAAAUAUCAAAAUAAUAUAAAAAUAUGAUGAAAUAUAUUUUUCGUCAUCUUUUACGUACUUUACAUGAUAAAAUAUAAUGCAUCACUUAAAAAAAGUGUCACAUAUUAUCAAAUUUAUUGUAGUGUGUGUAUGUACUUGUUAAAACAUUAAAGAUUUAAUAAAAAUUGAUAAAUCAUGUUCCACUAUUGAAACCAUGAUUAAUAUGAAUAAGCUUUAAAAUAUAAUUUAUUAUAAUAAAAGUUUCAUUUAAAUUUUCACUUCUAGGUACAUUCAUACACAAAAAGAAUUAGUAUUAGAGGUUUAUUGUCAAACUAAUAAAACUCAUGGCUAUCUAAAUGUAUUCAUUUAUUUAUUUAGAUUUCGUCCUCAAAGCAAUUUUUUUUGUUAAAGCAACUUUAUUUAGUUACUAGACAUAAUUCCUUUAAUUUUUUUUCUUAUCACCGAUCCCUUAAAACAUGAGCUUUUUGUGAUAUUAUAUAUUUUAGAGAGUACAUACAUAAACAAAAGAUAAAGUAAAAAAUUUUUAUUAUUUCUUUGAUUUAAUAUUUUUAAAAAUAAUUUAUUCUCCAUUUAUUUUUAUGUAAUGUUAUAUUUCCACACAAUAUAUACAAAUAAUAAAUGUUUUUAUCUUUUUUAAGUAUAAAUUAGUUUAAAUAAAAAAUCAUAAUAUGAAAAGUCAUCAUAUUCAAUAUUUGCAAGUAUUAAUUUUUUUAAUAUAUUAAUUAAAAAAUAAAAUACGAAGAGUUGGCAUAUUUAUCUACAUAUAAUUUGAUUCUAAGCAAUAAGUAUGCUUAUUAGUGAUCUAUGUAUUACAUGUUAAGUUGUUAAUUCAUUAUUUAUUUGAAACAAAAAGUAAAAUUUGAAAUGUUAGAAUAUUAAUUUUCAUAUUUUUAUAUUUUAGUAAUUAAUGAUUUAAAACUAAAUAUUUAAAAAGAGAAAUAUAUAUAAAUCAACCUUUCAAACUUUUAUAAUUUUCUAUCACCAAAACAAAUUAAAAUGAUAGAGAAAGGAAAGUCUAUAAAAUAUUAUCAUAUUAAUUUCAUAUUUUCAUAAUCAAUUUAUUUUUAAAAACUUUCCAUAUUCAUCUAAUCAUUGAAUUUAAGAAAAAUGACAUAGAUACAAAAGUCACAAAAAAUAUUAUAUUAAUUUUAAUAGAGGAAUCAAAUAAUCUAAUUGUUAAAUUAAUUUGUUUUGCACCUUUUAUAACAUUUUAUACACAAUAAAUAUUUUUAUAAAUUGACUAUUAGAUUUAACAACCUACUUGUACAUAAUUUUUCACGUAAAGUUUCAAAUCUAUACUAUAUUCCUAUCAUUUUGAUCGAGAAUAUUAUUGCUUUUAAUAUAUACCAAUGAUUAAAGUUUUAUUAUUAUCACAUAAAUAGUUAUAUAUUUGAAAUAUGUUUGAAAUUUGGUAUGUAUGAUUUACUUGAAUAGAAUAUAAAAUUCAUUGGUUAAAUUAACAAAUAUAAAUCAUAUAGAAAGAUACGAGACGGUGUAAAACUAAAUUAGUUUUACACUUGUCUAAAUAAAUCCCUAUAAUUUUCAUUUUCAUAUUUAAUUAUUUAAUGAUUUAAAAAAAUCUUUGAAAAAAAAGAAAUAUAAAUUAACCUUAUUUAAAAAUUUUUCAUAUGCCAAUAAUCACUUAAAAUUAAUUAAUAUUAGAGAGAUUAAAAGCCACAAAUCAUCAUUAUAUAAAUUUCAAUCUAUACAUAUUUCAUAAAUUAAUGAUUUGAAAAUAAAUCUUAAAAUAUAUAUAUAGAUAAAUUUUACUGAUUUUUAGUUUUAUUUCUUUUGUAGAUUUCAUGAUUUCAUUUGUCUUUCAUAAUAAUGUUUUUUCUUCAAAAUGGUUGUUUUGUUAAAUUUGUUGGUUUAUUUCUUUUUUUAAAUUUUUUUAUUUUAUUAAAGUAAUAUAAAUAGAUUAUUUUUAAGGAAAAUUUUUUAAAAUUUAAAAAAUUUAUAUAUAUAUGUGUAUAUAUAUAUAUAUGUAUACAUAUAUAUUUAUGUACGUAUAUUAUUUAAAUAUUUUAAAAAUAAAAAGAUUAAUCAUGUAAAGUACGAGUCCAAAACCUAAUGAAGUAAAAAAGAUUUGAUUCUUAUUCUUUCUUAAUUAUAAUAUCAAUUAAUUUAAAUGUAACCAUAAUAUAGAAUUUAAUGGAGGGAACUUAAAAAGUAACAAAGAAGGAAUCUUUGUUGCAGUUAUUACCUGUGUGGCACCAAAAGUGAGGAGGACAGCAUGCAUGGGUCGGGAUGGUAGCGGAUUCGGUCAAAUUUUUACUCGUUUUGAAUUUAAUAUAAUUUAAUAUUUAUAAUAUCGAAUUUGAUUUAAUUAAUUAUUAUUUUUUUAAUAUUUAAAUUUAAUAUGAUUUAAUAAUUUUUUAUUUUUUAAAUAUUUAAAUUUAAUUUAAUAUUAUAUAAAAUUAUAUUCGAUUAUAAAUUUAAUUAAAAAAAAAACAAUCCUAAAAAAAUGCGUUAGGUUGGAACCUACUAGGAAUGGGUUAAACUAUCAUUCCUAUCUAUGGGUGAUAAUUUGGAUCGAUUUUAAAAAAUUAAAAAUUGAUUUAAUUAAUUUUUUUAAAGAAUCCAUUGUUUUAUUUUUAACAAGCAAAAAUAAUGGAAUUGAAAUAAGAUGGCUUUAAAUUUUGAUUUAUUUUACUUUUUAAAUUUCAAACUAAAGAAUUUAAUAAAAAAAUAGGCUUGUAAAAAAUUAAUGAUUUAUUUUAAUUUUAUAUUUUUUAGUUUUAAUUGUUACUUUUUAUUUUAUUUUAGUUUUAAAUUAAUUUUUUGAUAAAAUGAUAAGACAAAAUUUACUUUUUUAUUAUCAAUUUUUAUAAUAAUAUAAUUUUGAUUAAAUUGUUAUUUUAUAAUUUCUAAAUUGACCUAAAUAAUAUAAUUUAAAUAUCAAAUUACUAAUUAACAAAAACAAAUAAUGUCAAUAUUCGUUUUCUUCUCUUAAGUUUUCAUAACUUGAUAUAUUUGUUUUCUCUAUUUUAUACGUUCUCUUAAAAAAAAAAAUAGUGAAGUCUUUUAUUUUAUUUAUUAUUAAUAUUUUUUUAUAUGGAGACGAGUGAGCUAGGACAAAUUUGAAUUGUUCAACUCAAUUAUUCAAAAAUAAAUGUCAGUUCAACCAGACAUUAUUAUUACACGUACUUCUGUAGGUCCUGUUAUAAAAGUAAAACGAUUCCCAAAACAACUGGUUAGAAGAAGGAGACCCAACUAAAAUUAAGCUUCACCGACAAACGGACGGAUCGGUUUACGUAAGCAAACUAGUUUAAGUCUCAGUCAAUUAAACCUAACCAGAAAAUGCUGAUUCAUAAAGAAUACAUUUUUUUUUAGAAGAGAACCAAGAACAGUCAAUUUAUAUGCCAAUAUUAUUGCAUAAAAAAUUUUCCUCCAACUCUCUUAGAAAGGGAAAAUAAUGUUUAAAGAAAGUGAAAUCUGCUUAUUUGAUAACAAAUUUUUUUAAAAUGUUAAAAUUAAUAAAAUAAUAUAAUUUAAAUAUCAAAUAACUAAUUAGCCCAAAAUAGCGUGUGUCCAUAUUGGUUUUGUUGUUUAAAGUGUUCUUAUUCUUUGUUCCAUUUUAUAGGGUUCUCUUGAAAAAUGAAUUACUAGAAAUGGUAACAAUUUUGACUGGAUUAGAAUUGAUCUGAUUUUUUUUAAGGUAAUAUAUAAAAUUAGAAUUUUUUAAAAUUUGAUUUGAAUUCAAUUAAAAUUUUAAUUGUUUAAUUUGAUUUAUUAUUAUUAUUAUUUAAUUUUUAAAUUUUUCAUAUAUUAUUUUAAUAUGAUUUGUAAAAUAUUUAAAUAAAUUUAAAUAUAAAAUAAUUAUUUUAUUUUAUAAAAAUUUAAAAUAUAUAAAAAUUAAUAAAAAUUUAUAAUUGAGGUCAAAUUUUUUUAAUUUUUAUGUUUUAUUCAAAAUUCAACACAAAUCUAAUAUAUAUGUAAUAUCUAAAUUAAAUUAAAAUUAAAUAAAAAUAUCCAAAUCAAAUUAAAUAUUAUAAUUUUAAAUUAAUUUUUUUUCAACCCUACCAGUGAGUCAGGACAAAUUCAAGCUGUUCAACUCAAUUAUUAAAAACAAUGAGUUAGUACUACUGUGUAAGUUCUAAAGGCAAAAGAUUCCCAAAAUCUUUUGACAUAUCAUUCCAUAAAAAUGGUACGUGAUUAUAUGGUGAAAAAUUUUGAACAUUUUUAGCAAUUAUUUUUAAAAUGAUUUUAUUGGUAAUAAAAAUGUAAAAAUUAAAUCCAUUAUAAUUAAGAUACCAAAGGUCACCUCAUUAUUUUAGGUUAGUUUAGUUCGAUAAUGGGAUGCCAAUUUGAAGAUACAAUAGUCAUCGUGAUUUUUUCUCCUUCGAUUUUAUUUGUAUGUUUCUUAUUGAUUUUUUGGUUAAAUAAAUUUAAUUUUAAAAUUUUUUUUAAAAACAUUAUAUUCAAUCAAAGUUUUUUUAAAUAUAUUUUAAAAAUUUUGAAACUCAAAUUUAUAAUUUUUAAUAAAAAUAAUCAAAAUCGAGUUAAUUUAAUUAAAAUGUCAAUAACAAAACAAAAUUGAGUAGGAAAAAUAUAUUAUAAAAUAUAAUGAAAUCCCUCACAUGGUAGUUGGAUUUUUUAAAAGUACUUCUUAUAAUUUUUUUUUCAAGUUUUUAGAUGUUUCAAAAUUAUGUUAUAUAUGUUUUAAAUAUCUAAAAUUUUUAUUUUUAUAUUUUAAAAUUAUUUUUAUGAUUUUUUUAUUUUUGAUAUUAAAAAUCAUAAAACUUUAAUUUUAUAAAAAAAUUUAAAAUUUAAUAUUAAAUAUAUUAAAAUUAAAAAAAAAUUUUAACUCCAUAAAAAUAAAACAUAACAAAUAUUUUUUAAAAAAAUAAUAGUCGAAGGCUCCACGUGUUAGUAUGACCCAAGUCUAUUUUUUUUUUUUUAUAACUAAAAAAAUAUUAACCCUUUUCUGUUUUCCAGGAAAGCGACUCUCACACAGCUAAUUUUCAAAGUAUUUCAAUUCUGGUAGUUACCAUCUGACACGAGUAUUCUUGAAAAAAAGUGAGGUUCUUUAAUUUAUUUAUUAUAUUAUUAUUUUUGAACGGGAGUGAGGUUCCUCCUUCACAUGGAGACGAACGAGUUGGGACAAAUUUGCAUUGUCCAUCUCAAUUAUUCAAACUCAGACAUUAUUUUACACCACUGUCAUUGAUACUGCAUUUAAAACCCUAGUGCAAGUGCGUUCAAAAAAUUAAUGUGGGUCCAAUAUUGACUUGUAAAAGAUUCCGUAAAUCAAUCAGCAAAAGAAGGAAAGAGAACAAAAAUCAUCUAAUACAAACAAUUCAUCUUUACCCAGCUUCAUUACUUACUGCUAGCUCAAACUCUUUUCUCAGCUUCCUCCAAUCUUAUUUCUUCCCCUAAUUUCUUCCAACUACGCAAUCCAACCAUGUCUUUGUUUAGCGAAGCCUUGUCCGCUAUACGAGAAGUUGCUCUCUCCAAGUUCUUUGACUAUCUCCUAGACAAGUUGGGUUCCUUUGAAUUCUUUCAAUUUGCCAGUGAAAAGCAGAUUCAAGAGGAGCUUGAGAAGUUGAAGAAGGAAUUGCUGGAGAUUCGUGCGUUGCUUGAUGAUGCUGAGGAGAGGCAGAUCAAAGAUCAAUCUGUGAAAAUUUGGUUGUCAGACCUCCAAAACAUGGCAUACGAUGUGGAUGACAUUGUGGACGAGGUUGAAACCGAAAUUGCCAAGCGCAAUUUGAAGUUGGAACGUCAUGGUAGCUCAAGUAAGAAGCCCAGACUUGAUACAUUCAACGAUGUUUUCUGUAACAGUGACAUGAUGUCAAAGGUAAAAGAUAUCACUUCCAGAUUGAAAGAUUUAGAGCCUCAAAAAAAUAAGCUGCAACUGAGAAUGAUUCACUGCUCGAAAUCCAACAGAAUAAAAGAAAGGCAGCAGCCUACUUCUCUGGAGAUCGAAACUCAGGUGUAUGGCAGAGACAAAGACAAGAAGACAAUACUUGAAUUGGUCUUCAACGGUGAUGAUGACGGAAAAUUUGUGAUUCCCAUCGUUGGAAUGGGAGGGAUCGGUAAGACAACCUUGGCCCAACUUGUUUACAAUGAUGCUACCGUUCACGAUCAUUUUGAUCUCAAAGCAUGAGUUUGUGUUUCUGAUGAUUUUGAUGUCACAAGAAUAACAAAAGCAAUUUUCCAAGCAGUCAGUUCAGAGCCAUGUAAUGACAAUGAUUUGAAUUCUCUUCAAGAAAAAUUGAAGAAUAAGUUGUCAGGGAAAAAUUUUUUGAUUGUUUUGGAUGAUGUCUGGAAUGAGAAUUAUCAUGACUGGACGAUUUUACAAUCUCCUUUUCUAGCAAGGACUCCGGCAAGCAAAAUUAUCGUGACAACAAGAAGUCUUGAUGUUUCAUCUGCAAUGGGUGCUUCUUUUGCUCAUUCUUUGGAAGUUUUGUCAGAAGAUGAUUGUUUGUCUGUAUUUGCUCAACAUGCAUUGGGAGCAAAGGGAUUUGAAGGACAUCCAAAUCUAAAAGAAGUUGCUAAGAAAAUAGUGAGAAAGUGUAAAGGCUUGCCUUUGGCUGCUAAAACCCUUGGAGGCUUGGCUCGUACUGAUAUUGACCCUGAUGCUUGGGGGAAAAUAUUGGAGAGUGAGAUAUGGAAGCUAUCAGACCAUCGGUUUGACAUAAUUCCGGCUCUCCAAUUGAGUUACCAUCAUCUUCCUCCACAUUUGAAGCGGUGCUUCGCAUAUUGCUCCAUUCUUCCUAAGGACUAUGAAUUUCAAGAGAGAGAAAUAAUCUUGUUAUGGAGGGCAGAGGGCUUUUUACAAGAAGCAAGAGAUAAGCAUAGCAUUGAAGAUCUAGGCCACAAGUAUUUUAGAGAUCUGGUAUCAAGGUCUCUUUUGCAAAUAUCAAACAAAGAUAGAUCUCGAUUUGUUAUGCAUGACCUCAUCAAUGAUUUGGCUCAAUCAGUUGCCGGAGAAAUAUGCUUCAGAAUAGAGGGUAAUCAGCAAAUUUCAAAGCACGCUCGCCACUUGUCUUACAUUGGUGGUCGGUAUGAUGGCAUCAAAAAAUUUAAGGGCAUCAAAGAAGCGCAGCAUUUACGUACUUUUUUGCCAUUUAGGCUGUCAAAUUAUUGGAGUUGCUUUGUAACCAAUAAUGUUCUAACACAUUUGUUGCCAAUUUUGGGAUGCCUAAGGGUGCUUUCUUUGAGAGGGUAUCAAAUCUCGAAGUUGUCAGAUUUUAUUGGAGAUUUAAAACACUUACGGUACCUAGAUUUUUCUCGCACUCAUAUUAAAUGCUUGCCGGAGUCCGUAAGUACCCUCUAUAAUUUAGAAACCCUUCUAUUAAGGGAGUGUGAGAUGCUUGAAAAGCUACCUUCAGAUAUGGAAAACCUAGUCAACCUAUGUUAUCUUGAUAUCACAGGUGCAAAUAAAUUAGAAGGCAUGCCAAGUAAUAUUUGCACGCUAAGUGAUCUUCAAACACUAUCCAAUUUUGUUUUGCAAAAGGGCAAAGGAUGUCAAAUAAGGGAGCUAGAUGGUUUAUCAAAUCUCAAGGGUCAACUUUGUAUUUCAGGGUUGGAGAAUGUGGUUGAAACUCAAGAUGCAUUGAAGGCUAAGUUACAUGAGAAAUCAGGACUGGAUAAGUUAGAAUUGAUGUGGAGUUAAGACUUUGGGAAUAGAAAUGGAGUAAUCGAGACAGAAGUGUUGCAUUUGCUUCGUCCUUCAGAAAAACUUAAGGAGCUUCGCCUCAAGUGCUAUUAUGGUGUGAGGUUGGUGGAAUGGAUAGGAGAUUCUUCAUUCAAUAAAUUACUAUCUUUAUGUCUUGAAUAUUGUCCAAAUUGCACAUCAUUGCCAUCAAUUGGGCAAUUGCCAUUGUUGAAAAAAUUAUGCAUCAAGGGAUUGGACAAUGUAACUAGUGUGGGGGCUGAGUUAUUUGGAAAGAAUGCAUCAAAUGCAUUUCCUUCAUUGGAGACUUUAGAAUUUGAAAACAUGCCUAAAUGGGAGAAUUGGAACUUUCGUGAAGUUAAUGAGGAAGCUAAGAAGUUUUCUAAUCUUCGUGAGCUUCGUAUUGUGAAUUGUCCGGAACUGUUGGGGAGUAUACCAGAAAAUCUCCUUUCGUUGGAGAAACUUGUGAUUUGUGAUUGUGAGAAAUUGGUGAUUUCAAUUCAAAACCUUCCAAUGCUUUCAGAAUUGAAUGUUCAAGGGUGCCAGGAGGUAGUGUAUAAAGGUUUUGUAGACGGCAGCUCAUUAAAAAGGGUAUGUUUUUCAGGAAUUCCCAAAGUUUACUUGUGCAGCAGAAUGGGUUGACGUUAGGAUCAAUAAAAGUGGAAUCCUUAAGAUCGAAGAUUGUGCAGGAAUUGGCUCUUUGCAAGGAACAGUGGGGAUUGCUAACUCAGUCGAUGUCACUUGGAUUGAAUUGAGAUUGGAAAGUGGUCGCAACUUGUCUCCAUAGGGGCAAGAGGGAGAAAAGAGAAGAAUUGAUGACAUUUGAAGAUCCCUUGACACCAUUCAAAACUGACAAUAAGGAAUUGUGAAAGGUUAGAAAAGCUAUCAACAACCUUGAACUAUGUCUCAUCGCCUAGGGUGCUAAAGCUUAGGUCUUGCCCAAAUCUGAUUUCUCUUUUCAAACAACAAAUUGCCUUCGAAUCUAAAAACCCUAGACAUUAGUGAUUGUGAAAAUUUACGGUGUUUGUUGGAAGAGGGAGAGAAUGUUAACCUCAGCAGUGCAUGUCUUCUUGAACGGUUGUCUGUUAGCAGUUGUCCAUCUCUGAUUUCUCUUUCAAACAACAAUUUGCCUUCGAAUCUCAAAAGCCUAGAGAUUAUUCAUUUUAAAAAUUUACGGUGUUUGUUGGAAGAGGGAGAGAAUGUUAACCUCAGCAAUGCAGGUCUUCUUGAGACGUUGUAUGUUAACGAUUGUCCAUCUCUGGUAUCUUUAUCAUCAAGAGAGAAGUUACCCAGGAGGCUUGAACGACUGUCAAUAGUCAGUUGUGAAAAGCUAGAGUUCAUAGCUCAAGAAAUUCAAGAUAACUCUUCUCUUGAAAGUAUUAGGAUCCUUGGGUGUAGUAUUAAGUAUUUACCUCAAGGCCUGAACAAGCUCAGCCAUCUCCAGUCCAUAGCCUUAUAUGCUUGUUCAAAUUUGGUUUCCUUUCCAGAAAGUGGUUUGCCCACCUCAAACCUCAAAGUCCUCCGCCUCAGUUCCUGUGAAAAACUCCAAGCUCUGCCCGACAGUAUACACAACCUCAGCUGUCUAGAACAACUAGAAAUAGAAAAUUGCUCAAGUCUGACAUCCUUCCCAGAAGAGGGCAUUCCUACUAAUCUCAAAAGACUUACCAUCAAAGGACCCAAUAUUUGUAAGCCAC
This 70382-nucleotide long non-coding RNA is filed under the name Durio zibethinus. Its description in RNAcentral is "long non-coding RNA (DZIB_LNC002443)". The record is from RNAcentral. Lineage: Eukaryota; Viridiplantae; Streptophyta; Magnoliopsida; Malvales; Malvaceae.